AGAGGAACUUCUUACCAAUACAACAGGACCAUCUUGCUUAGCCCUGUACAAGACCCAAAACCUGAAACACCAGAUUCAAGGAACUUCAAAAAAUCCAUCAGCAUUGCAAUCUAAUCUUUAUUAAUGUUUGCAAGCAACCUGACUUAUAUCAUCUAUGAAUCACAAGGAUAAUACAGUGACAAUGUACACGGCCAUCAGUAUCCAUGAUCGUUAAUGGAAAAGCUUGCAGAUAAUAAUUCUAAAACAUAAAACCUUCGAGCAUCAACUAAUUUGAUCCAAAUUCAAGCCUUCACUGCACAUCUUUCAAACUAAACCCCCAAUUUUUUUAUAAAUUAAAUUUCCACUUUCAAGGCGUAUCCAUGAAUUCUUUUUACAGAUAUGCUAAUUGAAAUUGCACCAAAUUCCCAAAUGUCUUGGCACAACAGAAUCACUAGAUAAACUAAAUCCAAUAAACGUCAGAUUGGUAACAAAUCAGGAUACCGAUUAAUUCAAACAAAAAGGAAAAAUAAAAAUUACCACAUAACGGCACACAAGCCUUUGCCGGUGACAACAUGCCAUCGCUUUGGAUGAUGCAAAGUUAGACCUUUGUAAGUUGUACUCUCUCCAUGGCCUCCUCCCAUCUCUCCCUGUAACCAAACCCUAAACACCAGAAAUGUUCCCAAGUGUUCGAAGGUGGAUUAAUCACUUGCCGGUUGCUUAGAUUUAAACCGAUCCUGAACCGUUGGAUGCGAAUUUGACCAACUGAAGGUGUGGUUCCCAUAUGUGCUGGUUUCUUUUCGUUGUACCAGGCCUUUUUCACGAAAUCGGCUAAGCCCAAGCCAUUGAUCCAUAAAUCUGAGAGUUGAUGUAUUACAGGGAUUAGAUGGUUGUAUUAUUAAAUGAAUCAAAUUAGUCCUAUAUUAUUAAAAAGUAUCAAAUAGAUUUAACAUUUAAUGUAUAAAAAAUGGUCUUUGAAAAUUAUUUUUUCAAUUGUAAUUUAAUUCUAAACAGAAUAUUUUAUUUACAAAACCAUAAAACUUUUAAAAAUAUUAGCUAUGCUGAAUAGUAAAUGAUACUUUUUUAAAAUAGUAUAUGUUAAAUCUAUUCUAAUUUAGUUUUAGUCAAUUUUUUAAUAGUAUAAGGACUAAAUUAAUUUAUUUAAUUAUAAAAAAUAUUAAUUUAAUCAGAUUUUUAUAAUAGAGGACCUCCCCAUUUCACUAAAGGAGAGGAAAACAAAAUUCAUUUCACCCCUUUCACUUGUAGUUUAGUUUAUUUAAUUCUUAAAAUUGUAGAUUGUUUUUUAAUAUUUAUUUAUUUUAAUUUUAAUAUAAUUUAUAUAUUUUAAAUUAUUAUUAAUUAGCACAAAAUAUAGUUUUAAUUAUUUAAUUUAGAUUUUUAUUAUAUUUUAAUUUUACUUACCAAAUAUAUACUUUUUAUUUUAUAUUUCAUUAAUUAAUAUACAUAUAUUUUUAAUGAUUUUAAAUUAUUUAUUAUAUAUAAACACAGUUUAAUUUAAAUAUCUUUAAUGGUUAUUUUCUAUUCUUGUCUCUAUUGUUAUGUUUUGAAUUUAAAUAUAGCUAUUGCCCUUGGUAAAUUUACCGAAGAUGAAAAUGAUUUAUUUGAUAUUAUGUAUGACUGGUUAUGUAGGGACCUUUUCGUUUUUGUAGGUUGGUCCGCCCUAUUGCUCUUUCCCUAUUCCUAUUUCGUUUUAGGGGGUUGGUUUAUAGGUACAACCUUUAUAACUUCAUGGUAUAUUCAUGGAUUGACCAGCUCCUAUUUGGAAGGUUGCAAUUUUUUAACCGCCGCAGUUUCUACCCCUGCUAGUAGUUUAGCACAUUCUUCGUUGUUACUAUGGGGUCCUAAAGCACAAGGAGAUUUUACUUUUUGGUGUCAAUUAGGUGGUCCGUGGACAUUUGUUGCUCUCCACAGUGCUUUCGAACUAAUAGUAUUUAUGUUACAUUAAUUUGCACUUGCGUGAUCUGUCCAAUUGCAACCUUAUAACGUAACUGCAUUCUCUGGUCCAACUACAUGCACAAUAUUUUGGAAUCUACAUCAUGUUUUUGAAAACGUAAGAAUUCAAAGUAUCUUGGUCCUUUCUUAUGAGUUGAUCCCGAAGGAAAUUAAUUAGAAAUUUUUUGGUAAAUCGUUAAUUUAUUUAAUAUUUAACUAUAUUUAUUUAUAAGUUUACUAGAUUGAAAUUUUAUGAUGUAUAAAAAUUUAUAGACCCCAUGUUACAUUCAGUAAAAAUUUAUGAUACAAGUAUUGGGUGUACUCAACGUGUCUAAGCCUGCUCCACCGAUGUGUUAGAAAUGAUUCCUUGCAAUGGAUGUAAAGCUAAGUAGAUUGCUUCCACAGUCUAACUACUUAAUUGAUUAAUUUCUUUACCACCACUAUUUUCAAUCUUAACAAAGUCAUUUCAUUGUCAUAUAAGUAGAAAAUGUAUGUAUUUUGAAUAUUGAUAGGUUGUAACACCCCUCACCAGUAUUCAAUGCCGGAAUAGGGUUACAGAGUAUUAUUGAACUUAUAAAACAAUUAAAAAUUCAUUUAGCAUACAUUUUCACAAUUCAUGCAUUCAUCAUUCAAUCUCAAUCAAUUUGUCCCUACUACGAGACUUCGAGGCCCUACCUUAUAUCCAAAGUACUAAUAUCAUGGCCCGAAGCCAAAUCAGUCGAUAUUCACGACCGGAAGCCAAAUCGGUAUAACUCGCACCCAAAGUACUAAUAUCAUGGCCCGAAGCCAACUCAAUGUAUCCCCUAAUGACAUGUCACUAGUAUCCUAAACUAUUCCUAAGGUUCAACUGGGAUUUCGAAUGCCGAAUUGCCAUUAAGUCAUGUCAAACUUAUCUGAAGUCUCGUAUUCAAAAUUUAUACAAUAUCAAGCAUUUAAAAUACACUUAUAAUGAAAUUUAUCACUUACGAACUUACCUCGAAUGUGAAAACGAUGAAAUAAGUCGAUUAGUCGAUAACUUUAGUUUUCCCCCGAUCUAGAUUUGAAUUCCGCUUUUCUUGAUCUAAAUAUAUUUAAAAUUAACUUAUUUAAUAAUAUCUCUAUUCAAUUUAAUCCAAAACACACAUUUAAGCAUGUUUACACAUUUUCCCCUAAUGUUUCACUACUUUUACAAUUUACUCCUUAUUUCAUAAAAUCACAAAUUAAUGAAAUUAAAAAUAAACCCAUGCUAGCCGAAUUACUAUUAUGCCUCUAGCAGCCCAUAUUUUUCAUUUAUUUCACAUUUUAACCACAAAGUUUCAGCAUUUCUCAAUUUAAUCCCUAUUUUGCAUUUUCACUAAAAAUCACUUAACAAAACUUGUAUAUUUCACAACAAACAUUCAUAAUCUAUCAUCAAACAUCAAAAAACUCAUGUAUUCAUCAAUGACAUCAUUCAAACUCUUUAACAAUUUUGCAAAAUAGCCCUGGGCUAGCUAGACCUAGUUGUAACGAACUCAAAAACAUAGAAAUCAUUAAAAACGAAAUAAAAAUGGACUUACAAUUGAGUAUCAAAGUAACCGAAAGUUUCAAGCCCUAAAAUGGGUUUUCUUCAUGCUUCAUUCGGCCAACGAAGAUGAUUAUAAAAUAAAUUUUUUUGUUUUAUUUAAUUAACCUUAAUUGAUAAAUUACUAAAUUAACUUUAAUGAUAAAACAUUUAUAUCAUCUAUUUCAUGUCCAUUAUGGACCACUUACUUUAAUAAUGGUCCAUUUAUCACUUAAGGACUUCCACAUUUAAUAUUCAUAGUCAUUUAGUGCAUUAAAAAAUAGAAUUCAACUUUUACACUUUACGCGAUUUAAUCAUUUUUACCAAAUUAAUCAAUCAAACGAUAAAAUUCCUUAACGAAAUUUUCAUACAACUAUAAUAUCAUGCCAUAGACAUUAAAAUGAUAAUAAAAUAAUUAUUUUAACCUCAGAUUUUUUGUCCCAAAACCAUUAUUCUGAUUUGACUAAAAACGGGUUGUUACAACUCUCUCCCUUAAGGAUUUUCGUCCCUAAAAAUCUUACCAGUGAAUACGUUAGGGUAUUAUUUUCUCAUAGCUUCCUCGAGCUCCCACGUAGCCUCUUCGACACCGUGACAUUGCCUCAAGACUUUCACUAAAGCUAUGCGUUUAUUUCUCAGCUCUUUAAUCUCUCGAGCCAAAAUUCUGAUCAGUUCUUCGUUGUAUGUCAUAUCGGGUUGAAUUUCGAUCUCUGACGGAGAAAUCACAUGUAAUGGAUCAGAUCUAUAUUGGCACAACAUCAAUACAUGAAACACGUUAUGGAUUUUCUCUAACUCAGUCAGUAAAGCUAGCCGAUAUGCCACUGGUCCUAUUCUUUCAAUGAUCUCAUAUGGUCUGGUGAAGCGUGGACUCAAUUUGCCUUUGUAACCAAAUCAUAGUAUUUUCUUCCACGGAGACAUUUUCAAAAUACUUUAUCACCGAUUUGAAAUUCAAUGUCUUUCCGUUUCAAAUCUGUGUACGAUUUCAUCGAUCUAAAGCUACUUUCAAACUGUCGCAGAUUACUUUCACUUUUUCUUCUGUUUCUCAGAUCAAUUCAACCUCGUGAAUCUUUUUCUUACUCAACUCUAUCAAAUACAAUGGAGUUCAGAAUUUGCGACCAUACAAAGCUUCAUAUGGUGCCAUUUUAAUACUUUAUUGAAAGCUGUUGUUAUACACGAAUUCAACCAACAACAAAUAUAUCUCUCAGUUGCUUUCGAACUCUAAAACACAACAGCGAAGCAUAUCUUUGAGAAUUUGAAUUACUCUCUUGGACUGACCGUUAGUUUAUGGAUGAAAUGCAGUACUAAAGUUUAACUUCGUACCCAGAGCUUCUUGCAAUUUCUUCCAAAAUCACAAUGUAAAUCUCAGAUCUCUAUCCGAAAUAAUCGAAAUUGGUACCCCGUGCAAUCUAACAAUCUCAGCAAUGUACAAUUUAGCUAAUCUAUCGAAUGAAUAGUCUAUACGUACUAGUAUAAAAUGCGUCGAUUUCAUCAAUCUAUCAACUAUAACCCAAACAACAUCUUUCUUUUUUAGAGUCAGGGGUAACCCCGAUACGAAAUCCAUCGUAACUUUAUUCCAUUUCCACUUAGGUAUCAUUACUGGUUGCAGUAGUCCCAAAGGCACUUGAUGUUUGGCUUUCACUUGUUGAUAGAUUAAACAUCUCGACACAAACUCUGAAAUAUCUCGUUUCAUGCCCGACUACCAAUAUAACUAUUUCAAAUCAUUGUACAUCUUAGUACUUCCAGGAUAAACGGAUAAAAAACCACUAUAUGCCUCGUGUAAAAUUUUCUGAAUCAACUCUGGAUUUUUCAAUACACAGAUUCUACCUAGGAACAUCAGACAAUCAUCGGCUCUAAUUUGGUACUCUAAAUCACUAGUUGACUCGCAUUGCAUUCUUUUAGCUUGCAAUUUACUAUCACAUUUCUAACCUUCGCAAAUUUGCUGAAGAAAUACUGGUUUAGCCUUUAACUCAGCUAAAAUCGAAACAUCAUCAGAUAACGUUAACUGAGUAUUUAUUAUUCUCAAAGCAAACAACGAUUUUCUACUCAAAGAAUCAACGACUAUAUUAACUUUUCCCGGAUGAUAAUUAAUUACUAAUUCAUAGUCUUUUAGUAGCUCAAGCCAUUUCCGUUGUCGCAAAUUUAAAUCUUUUUGAGUUAUAAUAUACUUUAAACUUUUAUGAUCAGUGAAGAUGUGCCAUUUUUCACUGUACAAAUGAUGACACAAAAUUUUCAAUGUGAAAAAAAUAGCAGCCAACUCUAAAUCGUGCGUCGGGUAAUUCUUUUUAUACGGUUUCAACUGUCUCGAGACAUAAGCUAUCACUUUUCCCUCUUGCAUCAACACACAACCUAACUCGUUUAAUGACUUGUCACUAUAAAUCACAAACUCUUUACCCGACUCAGGUUGAACCAAAACUGGUGCUUUGGUUAGCAAUUCUUUCAAUUGUUCAAAACUCUUUUGUCAUUUUUUAGACCACUCAAAUUUUACAUCUUUUAGUAGUAACCUGGUCAUCGGUGUAACAAUCAUUGAGAACCCUUUUACAAAACAUCGAUAGUAACCAGCUAACCCCAAAAAGCUUCUGACUUCGGAUACAUUUCCCGGUGGUUUCCAAUCAACAACUGCUGAAAUCUUACUCGAAUCAACUUUUAUACCUUCCGCGGAAACAAUGUGCCCCAAAAAAUUUGACUUCUCUGAGCCAAAACUCACAUUUGCUGAAUUUAGCAAAUAGUUAAUUGUCUCUUAAAGUUUGCAACACAAUCCUCAAAUGCUUGGCAUGCUCAGACUUAUCUCGAGAAUAGAUCAGAAUGUCGCCAAUGAAUACAACAACAAAUCUAUCUAAAUACGAUUUAAAGAUCCUAUUCAUCAAAUCCAUAAAGACUGCAGGAGUAUUAGUUAAUCCAAAAGGCAUAACAAGGAAUUCAUAAUGUCCAUACCUCAUUCUAAAUGCAGUUUUCGACACAUCUAAGUCUUUAACUCUCAACUAAUAAUAACCCAAUCUCAAAUCAAUCUUCGAAAACACUAUUGCCUCUUUUAACUGGUCAAAAAAAUCAUCAAUUCUCGGCAAAUGAUACUUGUUCUUUAUCUUAACCUUAUUGAGCUAUCGAUAGUCAAUACACAUUCUCAUUGAUCCAUCUUUUUUCUUUAUGAACAAUACUGGCGCACCUAAGGUAAAAAACUAGGUCGUGCAAAACCUCUAUCUGUUAACUCUUGCAACUGAGAUUUCAACUCUUUCAAUUCUAUCAGAACCAUUUUGUACUGAGCUAUGGAUAUCGGUGAAGUUCCUAGUACUAACUCGAUAGCAAACUCAACCUCUCUGAUCGGUGGUAAUCUAGGAAAAUCUUCUGGAAACACAUCCAGAAACUUACAAACUAUCGACACUGAUUCAAUCUUCGAUUCAGACACUCUUGUAUCCAGUAUAUAAGCAAGAUAAGCUUCACAACCUUUUCUCACAUAUCUCUAAGCUGACACAGACAAAAUCACAGCAGGCAAUCCAUUCGAUUCAUCUUAUUCAAUUCGAAGAAUUUCACUGUUCUGACAUUUCAAUUCAAUGAUUUUCUGUUUACAAUUCACAAUGACAUCAUGCAGAGUCAACCAAUCCAUUCCCAGAAUCACAUCGAACUCAUCAAACAGAAAAAGCAUCAAUUCAACCGGAAAACAGUAACCUCGAGUCAUUAAAGGACAGUUCUUGCAUAUUUUAAUCAACUAGAACAUACUUGCCUAAGGGAUUCGAUAUUUUAAUCACAAAUUUAGUAGACUCAACAGGCAAACUCUUACUAAACACUAAAUUCAUACAAAUAUACAAAUGAGUCAAUCUAGGAUCAAUCAAUGCAGUUACAUUAGUGUUAUAAAGAGAAAAUGUAUCGAUGAUAACAUCAGAUGAUGACGCUUCUUUGCGAGCGCGAAUAACGUAAGCUCUAGUUGCUACUCUAGUAUCGGAUCUCACAGCUGAAUCUCUAGUUACAUCUUUUCCACUAGACACAUUCCCCAUAUUUCUCGGGGGCCUCCAUCUCGCAGUCGUACUGCUCGGUCUUAUAUUCUGAAAUUUAUCUCUCUCAGAUAACUCUGGGCAAUCUUGAAUAAAAUGAUCUGGCGAUCCACGUAUGAAACAAGCUUUAUUACUUUUAUUCCAGCAUUCUCCAAAAUGUCGUCUCCCACAAUGUUGACACUCAGGUUGAUUGUUUCUUAUACUGCCAACGCUUGAGAUGGAAGUUGCUUGAGCUUUAGGACUCACAUAUUGUAACAGCCUGGUUUUAGCUAAAUCGGAAUAGUGGUUUUGAGACCAUAUAUACGAGGUCAAAAAAUUAUUUUAAUAUUAUUUUUUGUGUUUAUAUAAUGUGAUUAUAUAUGUGUGAAAAUUUCGUGAGCUAAUUUUAUCGUUUAAUAACUCAAUUUGAGAAAAAUGACUAAAUCGCGUAAAAUGCAAAAGUGAUAUUUUAUAUGUUAAAUGUGUUUAAUUGCUAUGGUUGAUUAAAUGUGAGGUUCUUAUGUUGAUAUUAGACUAUUUAUAGUGGAAUUUUACAUAAAUGGUCAUUAAUUGAAUGUUUUAAAUGGUUUUUAAUUACGACUAAUUUGGUAAUUUGGUUAUUAACGUUAAUAUUAAUAAAACAAAUAAAAAAUAAACCUUAUUAUCAUCUUCCACCACUAAUUAAUGAAGAAUGAGAAGUUUUUUUUGGUGUUUUAGGUUUUGGCUAGCAUAUAACUUGAUUAAGGUAUGUUUUGAGCUCGGUUUUUGACGAUUUCUAUGUUUUGUAAUCGUUGCUUUGUGUUCUAGCUAGCCCUUACCCUAAUUUUUGAAUUUUUUAAUGAUUUUGUAAAAUUCCAUUGAUGAUCUCUUGAGUUUUUUGAAUGUUGAUGAUGGAAAAUGAAUAAUUGUUGAUAGAUUUUAAUGUUUUGUAAAGUGAUUUUUGACAAAAAUGUCAAAUAAGGAUUAAAUUGUGAAAUUUGCAAAUUGAAGAGUUGAAAUAUGAAAUAAAUGAAAGUUUUGGGCUGCUAAGGGUCCCUAUGAAAUUCGGCUAGCAUGUAAUUGGAUUUAAUUGUGGGAAUUUUAUGUAUUUUUUAAAUAGAGACUAAAUUGUAAGAAAUGUGAAAGUUUAGGGUCAAAGUGCAAAUUGGCUAAAAUAUGUGUUUGUGGAUGAAAUUGAUUGAGUUGAUGAUUAAAUGGGUUAAUUUUGAAUACAAAUAGAUUAAGAAAGAAAGAAUUCGAAUUUAGAUCUAGGAAAAUUGAAGUUUAUUGAGUAAUCGAUCCGAUUCGUCAAUUCUAAGUAGGAGGUAAGUUCGUAUGUGGCAAUUUCAUUUUAAAUGCAUGUUAAAUUCUUUGACAUCGCAUAAACUAUGAUAAUGAGAUUACAGAUAGUGUUGAAUAGUGAAAAUGACUCUACGAAUGCAUUCGAUGAUAGAAACGAGAGGUGUGAAAGCUCGGUUGAACCUUAGGAAUAGAAUUGGAUAUUUGUGAAAUGUUAUAAGUUGAUUUGGCUUCGAGCCAUGCAUAUCAGAUGAGUUGGCUUCACGCCACGAUAUCGGCACUUCAGGUGCAAAUAAUACCUUGAUUUGGCUAUGGGCUAUGGUAUAGCUACUCUGAGAUAAGUUACCUUGAUUUGGUUAUGGGCCAUGGUAUAGGUACUUAUUGAUUGAUAUCUGAGUAUCUGACUUUUAAUCCAAAUGGUUCAACAGGUAAUGAAUGAUGUAGUUGAGAAAAAGGUUAGUACGAGGUGGUAUAGCUACGUACGGAACUUAUUCAAAUAUUACAUUGAGAAAGUUCAAUGAGAUUAUAUUGGAUCAUGUUUAAGACAUGACAAAGGUUUGUAGUUAAUGUGAUUUUGAUUUGGUAAUGUGAAAAUGGUUGAAUUACAUUUAUUUGAUAAAUUGAGUUAAUCACUUACGAGCUUACUAAGCUAUGAAGCUUACUAUGUGUUAUUUGUCUAUGUUUUAUAGAUUAUCGAAGCUAGCUUGGACUCGGGGAUCGUCGGGAAACGUCAUUACACUAUUGAACAUUUUGUUGGUACUUUUGAAGCUUAGUAUAUAUGGUAUAUGACAUGUAUUGGCUAGUGUCAUUAUGGUACAUUUUGUGUAAUGAAAUUCUAGCCAUGUGAUUUGGCUUGUAUUUGGUAAAGUUGUGGGAUGUGAAUUUUACUUAUUGAAUGUGUUUAUAUAUGCUAUGUAAUGUGAAUGGUAUGCCUUGUCAAUUUAGCCUAGUAUGGUAUGAGAAUAAGGUAUUGAAUUGGUGGUAUUUUGAAAUUUGAAUUAGAUGAUAAGAUGAUGAGUAAAUGCAUUUGGAACUUAUGUAAGUUUUAAUGAUUUUGGCAUAAUGAUUUGGUAUGUUUUGAAUAUGAAAUUUAGUAGUUGAAAUGAUUGAGGAUAGUUUGCAUGAAUUGGCAUAUUUUGUCUACCUAUAAAUGUAAUGAAAUAGGACUAUUUUGGUUGCUAGGUGUGCAUGAGAAAAGGGUGGCAAAUUGGCUUGGCAAAUGGCCUAUUUUUGUCCACACUGGCAGAGACACGGGCGUGUGUCUCAGCCAUGUGCAACACACAGUCACGUUACACGGCCGUAUGUCCCCUAGGUUCCCUUUCGAAUUAAGUCAAUAUACCCUACAGGUUUAGCACGGCCUAGACACACGGGCUGGCACAUGGGCAUGUGGUUGACCGUGUGACACAAGUCAGUAACCCCUCUAAUUUUCCCACUGUCAUGGCACACGGGCGUGUCCGGCCGUAUGAUGCUAGUCAGUAUGUAUGCCCUAUUUUCACACAGCCUAUGACACGAGCGUGUCUGGUGGCUGUGUGAGGCACAUGGCCUGUUCACACGGGCGUGUAACUCUUAAAUGCAAGAAAAUUUUCUAUGUUUCCUGAAGUUUGCUAAUGUUAUUAGUUUCAUCCCGAACUUCUUUUAAGCAUGUUUUAAGGUCUCGUAGGGCCUUAUAAGGGACAAUGUGAAUGUGUUGAAUGAAAUUUUAUUAUGAAUGCAUAUAUGUAUGAUUUAUGUUGUAAUAGAUAGGUAAUGCCUCGUAACCCUAUUCCGGCUAUGGAUACGGGUUAAGGGUGUUACACAUGUUGAUUUCCACGAUCUCUAUUAUGGUAUCCCACAGAUGCAUUUGAUCGACUAUACGAAUCUCGAGAUUUCUUUGAUGAAGAAUGAUAAGGUUUAUUCGUCGGUCUUUUUCUCGAAUAUCUAGCCCAUGAAUCAGCUUUCAUCUUUUCUAGGCUAAAGCCUUUGGCUUUACAAGCCUGGUCAACUAGUACAACAAAUUCUUUCAAAUCUAAAAUCCCGACCAGAAGUUUAAUGUCUUCAUUCAAACCGUUAACAAACCGCUUGCACAUGAUCUCUUCGGUAGAAACAUACUCUCGAGCAUAUUUACUCAACCGCACAAAUUCUAAAAACUCUUUGUGUUUUUUAUCUAGAAACUGUUGGCUUAUAUAUUUCUUCCUAAACUCAGUUUGAAAGAAUUCUCAGGUGACUCGUUCUCUAGGUACCACAUAUACUAAUGUAUUCUACCAUUGAUACACGACAUCUCUCAAUAAUGAAAUGGCACACUUUAAACUCUUAGCUGGAGUACAUAACAGUUCAUCACAUACCCGAAUAGUGUUUUCAAGCCAAAAUUCAACUCUCUCGGGAUCGUCAUCCACGGUAGCUCUUAACUUCUCAGCCCUGUACUUACGGAUUUUAUCAACUGGAGGCUUAUUUAAUCGUGGAAAUUCCACAACUUAAGGGGCUAUAGGGAUCGGUUGAGGAUUAGGUUAGGGUGGAGGUUGUUGAGCAGCAGGAUUUGUCCGGACAUACUGUGUGAACCUUUCGUUCAUCAUUUGGAAGAAGGCUUCUUUAGCCUCUCCUCCUUGGCUACCCGAUACGAGUCUAGAUUCUGAAGACACUGUCCCUCGAGCGGGAGCUGGCGCAUUACUUUUAACCUCAUCAACUACAACUCGAUUAAGAUCCAUUUACUAUACGAAAACACAUUUUAAAAUGUCAGGAGUCAUCACGCUAUCACAAUUUAUAUAUGGCAUGUAUAGCUAAACUCUCACAUACACUACGUUAGUCCUAGAAUCGACUAAACCGUAACUCUGAUACCAAUAAAUGUAACACCCAUCACCCGUAUUCAAUGCCGAGAUAGGGCUACAAAGUAUUACCGAACUUAUAAAAUAAUUAAAAAUUCAUUUAGCAUAUAUUUUCACAAUUUAUGCAUUCAUAAUUAAAUCUCAAUCAAUUUAUCCCUAAUACGAGCCUUCGAGGCCCUAAACAUGCUUUGGGAAUGGUUCGAGACUAAACCAAUAACUUAAGAAACUUUCAUGAAACCUAGAAAAUUUUUCUCAAAACAGAAGACACACGCCCGUGUGGUCCGCCCGUGUGUCUCACACGGCCACCAGACACGCCCGUGUCACAAGUCGUGUGGACAUUCGAAAUGGAAGCACAUGGCCGUGUCCCAGCCCAUGUCUGACCCCGUGUAACUCUCUAACUUGGGUCACAUGGCCAAUACACACGUCCGUGUGCCUUAAAAAUGACCAUACACGCCCGUGUGCCAGCCUGUGUGCUAGGCGGUGUAAUAGCCCAAAUUUCAACGAUGUCGGAAAUAGUGGUUCGAGACCACCAAAUCCAAAAAAUGAACUCAUAGAUUAUAUUAUUUAAUAUUUAUGAGCCAAAUGUAGCUUUUAAAAUAUUUUUGAAAUAGUAAAUUAUAUUUUAUAAAGAUUUAUUUGGUCAAGAAAUUGAUAAAAAAAAUUAUCGAGAUCUCGGUGUUAUAAACCAAGCCAUAAAUAUUUUUAUAAAUAUUUAAAGAGUGUCAAUAAGGUAGUAUUAAAAUUUUGUUAGAAAAUUUUGACAUUUGGGUGAUUAGUUAAAUAAAAAGGACUAAAUUGAAAAAAAGUGUAAAAGUUGCUAGAAGGAUUAAAUAGCUCAAUUGUCAAAUGAGGAAGGACCUAAAGUGCAAAUAAUCCCAAAGGAGAUAUUUUGGCCAGCAAUAGCUGAGAAAAAUCAGGAAAUGGGUGAAAUAAGGGCAAAAUUGGAAAAUUGACAAAAUUAGCUAAAUAAAAAUGGGACCAAAUUGGAAUAUCUAGAAUUCUCUUCAUUUUCUCUUCAUUUUCAUCAGCUGAAAAAUAGCCAUGAAAGAGGGUUCAAGUUGGUUUUCAUACUCUAACUUCAUGUAAGUUUAAUUCUUACUUUCUCCUUGAAAUUUCUAAGAUUUUGGACUUUUACAAUUGGGUCCAACUUACUAUGUCAUUAGUUUUUGAUUCCAUGGCUAAUUUUUAAAGUUGCUAUGGAUGAGUGCUAGAAGCGAUGAUGAAUAAAUAUAGAAUUGAAGCUUUAAUUUUGAUAUAUGAUGAUUUUAUCAAGUAAAAUUGAUGGAAAUUGAUUUUAAGACCUAAUUAUGAAAGAGUUUGGAAUUAAGGUCUAGUGCUAAAGUUCUAAUUUUCAGGGGUUAUGAAGUAGUUUAAAAUGAUAGACUAAAGUAUUAAUUGAUAAAAAUUAGCUCAAUUUAGGGGUUAAUUGAGCAAGGACUGAAUUGUAUGAACUGUAAAAUUUGGGGUAAAAUGGAAAUCAACAUUUUGCAUUAAAAUUGUUUUGGACAGCAGCAAUAGUCUAAUUUUGAAAAAUCACCAAAAAUUGUAAAAAUCGAAUGAGAGAAUGAAUAAAUAUGAAAUUAAAGCUUAUUGAGCCUAGUUUCUUAUAGAAGAAAUGAUGUAAGCAAUGGGAUUGUAAAUCAUGAGAUAUAAUAAAUUUUGUGAGAUAAGGUCAGAAUGAUUUUGGGUUCCUCUAUUCUGACUUUGGAAAAUCAUCAAAAAUUGAAAAAGAAAAUUAGGGCUUAAGUUCAUAUUUUUAUAAUCCUGAAUGAGUUUAUUUUCAAGAAAAACAAACAGGAAAAGUAUUCGAAUCUUGUACAAGGAGAUAACUAAUUUUUAGUGAAGAAGGGUCGGAACUAUCAGACAGUAGAAUAGGGGUGAUUUUAAAGAAUAAAAUGUACUUAUUGGCUAAACCAAAAAUUCUAAAAAAAAUUUGGUAAUAAGAUAUGCAAGUCUAGUUUCAGGGAAAAUUAGCGGAUCUUAAUUUGGAGCUCUAUAGCUCAAGUUAAAAAUAAUUUAGUGACUAUGACACGGAUGGACAGCUUUGGAAUAUAAAUAUAAGUAAAUAGUGAAAUUAUAGAUAAUGUUACUUAUAAGCGUGUUAUAUACAUUAAGGAUGUGGAAUGGAGAGGAGGAGGAGGAAAAUAUGUGAGUGACUUAUGCAUAAAUCAAUUACAUGCUCGAUUAUAUUUGGUAAAUGUUAAACUUUCUUAAAAUGAAAAAUGUUAUAAAUUCAUGUUUGAAUUAAAUGUUAUAAAUGUUAAAGAAUAAUUUGAAUAUUUGAUAUUGCCUAAUAAAUGAAUAUCCGAUAUUGCUUAGUAAAUGUUAAGCCAAAUAUAAAAAAAAAUAUGUUAUAAGUGAAACAUGUGUGAAAGAAUGUGGUAAGUAUUUUCAUGGUUAUUAUUGAGCUCAUUCACAUGAAUCUGUCAUUUGAAAUUGUGAUAGACAGGAAGAAAUAGUGAAUGGCAUGCUUAUGUAUGGUUAUAUGUAUUUAUCUAAAACACAAGAAAAUGAUGGCUAUAUUUUUUAUAUAUGGAGACAGGAGACAUGAGACUAUGAUAUAUGAACAUGGAAUAUAUUUUAUAAAUGUGUUCAUUCAUAAUUAUAGAAUCCUGCAACUCAAGUGUACUAUUUGUAUAAUGAUAGUAUUUCAAAUGAUUUGAUGAGUAAAGCUCCAAUGUGAGAUAGUCUGAAAUCAAGACAAAUUGUUAUGAAAGUGUAUUUAAAAUACAUAGAUAUGAUUGUUAUAAGUUAUGUGAGUAAAUGAUGUGUAAAAGUAUAUGCAUAUGAGAAAUUUAAUGAAAGUUGAGCCCAUACAUGUUUCUUGAUAUUUAUAUGAAUUAUAUGACUAACAAUGUGAUAAGAAUAGGCAUUAGGGCUCAUGAUCAAUUCGAAUAAUUAUGCUUUGCAUAAUUAUGUUGAAUAUAGAGAAGCGAUAAGUUAAUUACCAUGUUAUACGAAUUUAUUAAAUAUUACAUGUUUACUUUGUUUUACUUUUUCCCCUAAUUAAUAAUGAUUCGAUAAGCUCCGAUAAUGCCUCGUACCCUAUUUCAAUGACGGAUACGGGUAGGGGGUUCUAUAGGCCGUGCCAAACCUGUAGGGUAUACUAACUUAUGCCACACGGCCAAGUCACACACCCGUGUGUGAGGCCAUAUGGAGCAUACUAACUUGAUUUUAAUUUCAACACCAGGGAACACAUGGCCGUGUAACAUAACCGUGCGUCACACACGGCUGAGACACACAUCCAUGUCUCUGCCCGUGUGGACAAAAAAAUAGGGCAUUUACCAAGCCAAUUUGCCACCCAAAUUUAUGCAUUCCUACAUCAAACCAAUUGGUACCAAUACAAGACAUAAAUAAGCAUUCAAUCUACUUCAACCAAGCAUCAUUUAUUCCAUUUCAAUAUAAACAAUUACAAGAUUUACCAUACCACAAUAUACAAUUCAAAUACAUAUCAAAUUUUACCCUUUUCAUUCAUCAAUAUGGUCUUUUUCAAACAUGUAUCAAAUUAUCUAAACUUGUAAGCAUACUAAUUACCAAUUCAUCAACCAUUUGAUAUUCACCAUAUCCAUUUUCAACAAGCACCAAAUACCAUCAUAACUAACAUUUAUAAGGAAAUUACUAAACUCAAACAAAGGCUAUUUGCACACUUAUAUACAUUAUCAAAUUCACCAUUAUAAGCCAACUCACAUGAUUAUAUAUUUACAUACCAAACCUAAUAUUUACAAGCCAACACAAAUGGCCAAAAGAUAUAUACUAAAAAUACCAAGUCCCUAUACAUGCCAUAUACUUAAAAUACCAAAGUUCAUAGGUACCAAGUGAUAUAUGGAUAGUGUGAAGCGGACUCCGAUGAAUCUCCGAAUCCGAGCUAGCUUUGAAUUCACUAUAAAACACGGGAAAAAUAAACAAAGUAAGCUAUAAAGCUUAGUAAGCUCUUAUGAAAUAAACUUGAUAUAAUCAUAUCCGCAUAAUCCAACAAUUGAUAAUAGAUACAUGAAUUUACAUCAACUAACAAACCUUUCAAUUACUCAUUUACAAAACUAUAUACUUUCUUCACCAUUUCUUCGAUUCAAAGCUAAUAUGGUUUAUGCACAUACUUUUACCAUCUUGUACCAAUCUCAUUCUCACCCACAUCAUUCAUUUACCCAUUGAACCAUUCAGAAUAGAAGUCGGAUACUCAGGAGUCUUACACAAUAAGUACCUAUACCAUGACCCGAAGCCAAAUUAAGGUAACUUAUAUCCGAAGUACUGAUAUCAUGGCCCAAAGCCAAAUCAGCCAAUAUUCAUGGCCCAAAGCCAAAUUGGUAUAACUCGCACCCGAAGUGCUAAUAUCAAGGCCCGAAGCCAACUCAAUGUAUCCCCUAAUGACAUGUCACUAGUAUCCUAAACUAUUCUUAAGGUUCAACUGAGAUUUCGAAUGCCGAAUUACCAUCAAGUCAUUGUUGAACUUAUCCGAAAUCUCAUAUUCAAAAUUUAUACAAUAUCAAGCAUUUAAAAUGCACUUAUAAUGAAAUUUAUCACAUACGAACUUACCUCGGAUGUGAAAACAACGAAAUAAGUCGAUUAGUUGAUAACUUUAUUUUUCCCCAAUUCUAGAUCCGAAUUCAGCUUUUCUUGAUCUAAAGAUAUUCAAAAUUAAAUUAUUUAAUAAUAUCUCUAUUUAAUUUAAUCCAAAACACACAUUUAAGCACAUUUACACAUUUUCCCAUAAUGUUUCACCACUUUUACAAUUUAGUCAUUAUUUCAUAAAAUCACAAAUAGUGAAAUUAAAAUAAACCCAUGCUAACUGAAUUACUAUCAUGCCUCUAGUAGCCCAUAUUUUUAUUUAUUUCACAUUUCAACCACAACGUUUCAGCAUUUCUCAAUUUAAUCCCUAUUUUGCAUUUUCACUAAAAAUCAUUUAACAAAACUUGCAUAUUUCACAACAAACAUUCAUAAUCUAUCAUCAAACAUCAAAACACUCAUUGUAACACCCCAAACCUAGCCUAGAUGUUAUGGCCGAAUCUGGCAAUGUCACAUGGAAUGGGAUUCGAAAAUGAGUUUGUCGAGUUAAGCCGUUCCAGUUAAUUAACUUGUUAUGACUAAAAUCGUAUCUUUUUAGCGGAAGCUUUGGUAACGUUUAUUUUUUUGAAAAAUUGUUUGGGUUGAAAGAAACCUUUGUUUUAAGAAAAAUCGAGUUUUUACUGUCUAGCCAUACUAAAAUCGUAAAGCAGUUUAAAAAAUCCAAAAUUCAAAACCCAAUAGUCCAAAAUCCCAAAAUUACACAAGAAAUACCCAAAAUAAUGUGUAUUCUGAAAACUGAAUCAAAGCAGUACGAAACAAUGGUGGUCGCCGUCGAGUCUUCUGCCGCAUCGAUCCAUCUAAGACUGGGGAUUACCUGUACAUAUUAACUGAAAUCGGGUGAGUUUUCGUAAACUCAGUGUGCAAUUCCCACAGAAAAUAUAUAUACAGAUACACAUAAGAAUACAGUCAAGUUCAGUAUGGGCCUGAGCCCAUUUUAGGUUCAGUUUGGGCCUUAGCCCAGUCAGUUACAGUUUCAGAUAUAAAUUAGGGCCUUUGCCCAUCUUAGAUACAGUAUGCAGUAACAGAAAUCAGAGUCCUACCCACCAGCCUUUACACACCAUCUCCGUCCAUCCCUACACACCAUGUGGGGUUAAAAACACUCACUCAUCCCUACACACCAUGCUGUACCGAAAUGCGGCACAUAUUCAGUAAUUUGUAACUGAGCUGCCAGAUAACAGGCUUGAAAGCCUUUCGAACACUUCCUCUAAAUAUCAUCAACCUACCCCGAUGCAAUGCAACAAACAAUAAAUGACAUGCUAAUAUGCGAUUAUUAGUACAUACAUUCAAUUUAGAAUACAUGCUUAGUAUUAUCAGGCUCAGUACAGAUAUCAUACAGAUAAUUUAUAUAUAUAAGGGUCUAAGGAUUGCUUACCGACCCUACAUUAGGUUCACAGUCGACUUGGGCGACCUGUGCAACCUUAGAAACUUUUCAGUUAAAAUGGGCUCACACGCCUAGGUAGCCUGCCCGUGUGGGCCCACACGCCCGUGUGGCCUAUACGGCCCAAAUUGGCCUUGGUCGUGUAGAUCACAUAGUCUGGCCCAUAAUCCCACAUGCCCGUGUGGACUAUCCAUGUAGGCCGACACGCUCGUGUGGCCCACACGGCCCAAAUCAGUCUAGUCCGUUUGUCGCACACGGCCUAUCUGGCCAUUACACGACCGUGUCUGUUGUGCACGGCCUGUCCUCGUUGAUCACACACCCGUGCUAUAGCACACGGCCUACCACACAACCUACCACACGGCCAUGUGACAUCGAUAGAAUGGUUUUUAGCUUUCGUCAAAACCUCGUUUUCUGUGUUUUCGGGUACACACCUGGUUUGUUUUCGACGCGUAAGCUGUUCGAAGCCUCCAGAACCUAAAAAUGGACCAACGUAACACUUAAUUAAACACUUGUUUCGCCAUUCAAUUAAAAAUCUAUCAAAACCUAUCAUCGACAAUAUAAAUAACCCUUUGUAACACCCUAGACCCGGCCUAGACGUUAUGGCCGAAUCUGAUGAUGUCAUGUGGUAGUGCUUUUCGAUAAAUAUGUUGUUGCUAAAUCUCCUUUUUCAUUUUCUUAUGUUAAUUUCAAAUCAUGUCGUUCGAUUUCCAAACAUUAAUCAUUUGUAAUUCGAUAGUCAAUUUCCAAAACGUUUUUCAUUACAGAAGCUUUUAAACAGUUUGCGUAUUCGUGGUAUUUUUUAUAAAACAUCAUUUUCAUUUGAAAACUCGAGUUUUAUCUAACACUAGCAGAUAUGAAUCAUUAAACCGUAUAAAUCCAAAUUUAAACCAAAAUCCAUAAAAGCCAUAAUUACAGUAAAAUACUCCCAAAUAAAAGUAAAAUCAUGAAUAGAUAAUAAAAUAGGGUAAAAGAAGUCGUGUGGCCACCACUGAGUCCUCCGCUGCACCAACCCGCCUAUAUUUGGGGAUUUCCUGUACGGAUUAAACAUAAGGGGUGAGUUUACGUAAACUCAGUAUGUAGUCCCCAUACAAAUGAACAGACAGUAACCAUAUAAUCACAGUCUGGGCUUAAGCCUUUUUCAGUAUCAGUAUCAGACCAGUUUGGGCCUUAGCCCAUCUCAGUACAAAAAUGGUCAUGCAGUAGGGCUUCAACCCAUCACAGUAUCAGUAGCAGUAACAAAUAUGCAGUCAUAGAAAUCCUACCAAUCCAGCCUCUACACACCAUCUUCGUCCAAUCCUACACUCCAUGUGGGGAUAUAAUCAACCCACCCAUCCCUACACUCCAACUAGCACCGAAUGCAACACUAGACAGUAGUUUGCAGCUGUGCUGCCAGUAAAUUAGGCUCGAAGCCUUUCAGUACACUUCCUCCGAAUAAUAUUAACCCCCAACCCAAUAGAAUGUAAUAUAUAAAUAUGACAUGCUAUAACAUAAUAUCAUGAAUGUAAUCAAGGCAUACAGUAUCAAAUCAGUGGGACAUCAUCAUACUUUUUCCAUAUUAGUCAUAUAGUCAUUUCAGUUAAUUAGGGGUUUAGGUAAUGCUUACCGACCCUACAGUAAGUUCACAAUUGACUUGGGCUACCCGUGCAACCUUAGGAAACAUCUCGGCAAAAUGGGCUCACGCGCUCAUGUGGCUUGCCCGUGUGGGCCUACACGCAUGUGUAGCCCACACGGCCCAAAUUGGCCUUGGCUGUGUGGAUCAGACGGCCUGGCCAAUAUCCCACACGCCCGUGUGGGCCCACAUGCCCUUGUGGCCCACACGACCCAAUUUAGUUGAGCCCGUGUGUUGCACACGGCCUACCUGGCCAUCAUACGAUCUUGUUUGGUGCGCACAGCCUGGCCUAGUCGACCACACGCCCGUAUUACAGCACACAGCCUACUACACAGCCUAUCACACGGCUGUGUGGCGUUGACAGAAUAGUUUUUGACUUUCGUCGAAACCUCGUUUUCUGAGUUUUCGGGUACACACCUGGUAUCGAAUUGAUGCAAUAGCACUCCUAUAAAGACCAGCACCCUACAACGUUAUAACAACUUCUAAAAUCAGUCACAAAUCUCGAUUAAACUAAAACCUCGAAAACGAAAAUAGCCCAAAUAGGGCGUUUAUCAUUUACCCUAAACACUCCGAUUGAUUCCCACUAAAGUUCCACCAAAGAGGAGCUCCGACCUUCGUGAAUCAUUGCUGCCAAAAUCCAGAAUUAAACUAAUGAAAAUCAAUGACACAAUAACGAUAUAAAAAGAAAAUCCCCCCUUAAAACGAGUAAAACCUUACCCACACUACCGAAGCACAGGCAGUUGGAAAGCCGGAAAACUGGAGUUGAACAACACCAGAAAGAUGAAGAAAUAAAGAAAAGGAAGAGACAGACGCCCGGGAGGCUGCGAAUUUUUAGUAGAGAGAGAAAAAGAAUUAGCAAAAGAACAAUCAAGGGAUAUUCCCUCAAUCCCUUAAUCCUCUUCACUACCCACAGAACAGAUAACUUCCACAGAAUUUUGGUUUAACAGAAACUCUCACCGCAACACUGGGCAAAAAUAAACCCCCUUGCAGAUAUUCGAACUCAAGACCUCCAGCUCACCAAAAUUUCCCCCUAACCACCAGACCAGUAGGGCCAUUCUAAUAUAAUAUUACAAGCAUUUUAAAUAAAAGCCUACUGAACAAAGUUAAGGCUUUACUCAGAAAAAUCCAAAAUUUUUCCAAAGACAAGACUUGAACUUAAGACCUCUCACAUACACCCAGAACAUUUAACCACUAAAGUAGAUACACAAUUGUGUCACAAACACACAGAAAUAAAUAUACAAACUUUAGGGUGUUACACCCUUAUCGUUAACAAACCGAAGUCGCAACUCUUAAUUCUUUGUAGCAACACCGAUCAAAUAUUGCCCCUCGCCUAAACCAGGAGUAACAAAACAAUUUUUCAUCAAUCAUCAAGUCGAAUAACAAAAAGACUUAUAAAAAAACAGAACUUACUGAACGAGGCAGUCAAUGUUUGCACAAAACUAACUAGUUGAAUCCAGAAAAAGAAUCGAAAAGAAGGUUUUCUGCAGUGAAUUUCCUUUGGGAAAACAUUUUUACUCAAAUCCCUAGAUUCACUUAACCACUCACCCACUACUUAGAAUUCCUGUUUGACCGAAACUCUCUCGGUCAAACGAGCAAAAAUAAACUCCUAUGCUCAAGCAGGGAAUUAAACUCCAAACCCCCAACACACCAACACAUAUCUUAACCACCAGACCAGCAGGCCCAUUCUGAUAUAGUUUAAUAAAUAAUUCAACAUAAGCCUGUUGAGCUAGCACAAGGCUUAAGUUAGAAAAAUACCAAAAUUUGCUAAAGGCAUGGCUUGAACUUGAGACCUCACACACACAUACCCAGAACAUUUAACCAUUGAAGCAGAUACUCAAUUGUAUCACAAAUUCACAAAAAAACAAAAAUAAGAAUUUUGGGGCGUUACACUCAUGUAUUCAUUAAUGGCAUUAUUCAAAAUCUUUAACAGUUUUGCAAAAUAGUCCCUAGGCUAGCUAGACCUAAUUGCAACUAUCUCAAAAACAUAGAAAUCAUUAAAAACGAAAUAAAAACGUACUUACAAUUGAGUAUCAAAGUAACCAAAAGUUUCAAGCCCUAAAAUGGCUUUUCUUCGUGCUUCAUUCGGCCAAGGAAGACAAUAAUGAAAUAAUUUUUUAUUUUGUUUUAUUUAAUUAACCUUAAUUGACAAAUUACUAAAUUAACCUUAAUGAUAAAACAUUUAUUAUAUCAUCCAUUUCAUGUCCAUUAAUGACCGCUUACUUUAAUAAUGGUCCAUUUAUCACUUAAGGACCUUCACAUUUAAUAUUCAUAGUCAUUUAGAGUAUUAGCAAAUAGAAUUCAACUUUUACGCUUUCCGCGAUUUAGUCUUUUUUACCGAAUUAAUUAUUCAAACGAUAAAAUUCCUUAACAAAAUUUUCACACAACUAUACUAUCAUGCCAUAGACGUUAAAAUAAUAAUAAAAUAGUUAUUUUAGCCUCAGAUUUGUGGUCCCGAAACCAUUGUUCUGAUUUGACUAAAAACAGACUGUUACAUAGGUAAAUCAAAGUAGAUGAGAAAUAUGGAGUCAAAUCAAGGAUGAAUUUAUAACUUUUAUAACUUUUCUUCAAAAUUUAACAAAAAGUAAAUAAAAAUAAUAUUUUUUUACUCCUAAAUUAAACAAUUAGAUUCACUUUGGUACUUUUAUCUUUUACAUCCAUUUUGAUAUCUAAAUUUAACAAUUAAAUAUAUUUCAAACUCUAACAGGGAAAACAUAAGAACACUAAAAUGGGUUCACUGUCUUCACUCCUAGACCUAAGAUUAUUUGUAUUCAAACGGUUAAUCAAACUGAAUUAGUAUUAACCAAAUUAACCAAACUUUUUAAUCAUUUAACCAUUAAUUGUACCAAUUUUUUUUCAAAAAAAUUAACCAUACCGAAAUAUUUCGGGUAAUUCAAUUGGUUAACUGAAAUUUAUGUUUUUUUUUGUUAAAACAAGUAUAAAAACAUAUCAAAAUAAAUAAAUUAAUAAUGUUCAUUUGACCGAAUUAACCGAAUUAGUAAGAGAUUGAUACAUAUAAUAUAUAAUAUUAUUUAUUAAGUUCGGUUAAUCACUCGAUUUCAAAUCGAAUUAACCGUUAACCGAAAUUUUAAAAAACUUUUAAUUACCUUUCAACAAAACUAAAUCGAUUAACUGAAUUAAAUCGGUUCAGUCAAUUAAUUCGAUUUUAAUCGAAAUUUGUAAACUAGAGAUUGAUAUAUUUGAUUAGGGAUGAGCAUUCGAUCGAGUUGAGUCGAAUCGAGUCAAAAAAUUUUGAGUUAGUCGAGUUGACGAAUCCUAUUUUAGCAACCGAAUUCAAUUUGAAUUUUUUUUCAAAUCAGAUCGAAUCGAGUCAAAAAAUUUCGAGUCGAGUUAACGAAUCUUAUUAUUUGUACUCAAUGUUGCGCUUUACAUGAACCGAUUAUUUAAAUAGGAAACGAAGUAUAAAAUUAUUUAACAACAUAAACAAUAUAAUGGUUUUGCAUUUUAACUUAAUUAGUAAACAUUUAUCAAAACAACAUAGUUUUACCUUUUUAAUUUAAUGGUUUUGACUUUUAACUUUAGAAAGGUAAACAUUCAUCAAAAUGACGUAGUUUUGCUUUUUUUUAUACGGAUUUUUGAAUAACUCGAAUUGUGUAAUUCACAUUCGAAUUAAACUAAAAAACUUUUUUUAUUCGAGUUGACCUAAAUAACUUGAUUAACUCAAAUAACUUAAAAUAUUUAAUUCAAAAUUUAAAAAUUUUAUCAAAUUUUUCGAAUCGAAUUAAAUUUUUCUCACUUCUAUAUUUGAUUGUGCAAGUCCAAAGGGUUGAAUAAAAGAAUCGGGACAUCUUUAUUGCUGAUGAUAAAAAAUUGGAAAUAGGGUGUGCGUGGCAAACAUUGCCCUGACGUAUAGAAUUAUUAUUUAAUAUGCCCUGACGUAUAGAAUUAUUAUUUAACAUCGCUUUUGUCAGCUUUAUGGAUAAUUUUUUCAAACCCAAAAAUACUGAAAUAAUGGAAAAUAAUUGCACCAAAUCCACUUAGAAAAUGCAUUAAUUGCUAAAGCUGUCAUAUGUACUCAAGGGGAAGAUCUUAAUACUAAAAUUUUUCAUAAUAUUAUUUUUUGAUAUAAUUUUUUAUUUAUAUAAUUAAUAUCAAUUUUUAUAAUAUUUAAAUUUAUAAAAAAAUUAUAUAAAUUUAAUUUUAAAAAAACUUAAUACUAACUUAUAUCCCUUUUAUAACUAUUUUAAUAUUGACAACUUUAUAAAAAACAAAGUGUAUAAAAGAUUAUUAGUUUUGUUAUACAUUUUAUAAUACAAUUAUUAUUAUGCUAAUAUUGCAAUAAAUGAUACCGUGUCAUUUUAAUUAAAGUAAAUAUCUAUUUUCAACAUAUUACAUAUGUUAAUUAAUUAUUAGUUUUAUUUUUUAAAAUUAAACUAAUAAUAAUAUUUUGAAAUAACUAUUUAGAGUAGAUAUUAAAUUAUUAAAGUAAACACGUAUUUUCAACAUUAAUAUAUUAUAUAAAAUAAAUAAUGUCAUAAAUAUAUGUGAAUUUUCAUGUAAAUUGUUACAUAAUAUUAUUAAAAAAAUUAAAUUUUCGUUAAUAUUAUCAUUAGAAAAAAUAAUUUAACUUAUUUUUUAAAGAUUGAUGAUAAAAUUUAACUAGAAUAAUAACAAAAUCAUAAUAAAUGUUAUUAAUAGCGGAAUUUGACAUUAUGCUAGGGAUACCACAAUAGGCAGCUUGCAAGUGAUCACAGGGUACUGCUCUUAAUCUACAUAAAAAUGCGAGAAAGGAAGUAGCAGAGGAAGAAGGUUAGUGAGAGAGAAUAAAACCCCAAACCAUUAUUAUGGCUGAAAUUAGCAGCUUAAGAAUCGAUCCCAAGAGUGGGUUUUGUUCUUCCAAUUCUACUUUCUACAGCAAACGCGUUCCCUUUCCACUUCCAUCCAACCAUGCCCUUGACAUCACCACUUUUAUCUCCUCUUACCCUCACCAUGGCAAAACCGCCUUCAUCGACGCCACUACCGGUCGCCACCUCUCCUUUUCCCAACUUUGGCAAUCAGUUGACUCCGUUUCCACAUGUCUGUCCGAAUUGGGUAUUCGGAAAGGAAACAUCGUCAUCAUCAUCGCACCAAACUCCAUUUUCAUACCCAUUGUUUGCCUCUCUGUGAUGUCUCUUGGAGCUAUUAUAACCACUAGCAACCCCCUCAACACGUCUCGUGAAUUCGCGGUACAAAUGGCUGAUUCAAAGCCCGUCCUCGUCUUCACCACUUCUCAAGUCGUCCCAAAAUUGGCUGGAUCACCUCUCCCCAUCGUACUUCUCGACGAGCAAGUGGCGACCGAAAAAACAGGCCAAGUCAAAAUAGUUACUACUAUUAGUGAAAUGUUAAAGAAGGAAACAAAGGACAAGAUCCGAGUGAGGGAUCGAGUGUACCAAGAUGACGCGGCAACUCUACUCUAUUCCUCGGGCACGACGGGUGCCAGCAAGGGAGUAAUAUCAUCUCACGGAAACCUCAUGGCUCUAAUGCAAAGUUUUUCACAUUUGAGCAAUCCAGACGAAGGGGAGCAAACCCAUAUCUGCGCCGUUCCCAUGUUCCACAUCUACGGCUUCGGAGCUUUUGCCAUCGGGAAACUCACGCAAGGAUCAAAAGUAGUUGUUUUAUCAAAGUUCGACAUGAAGGAAAUGCUGUCGGCAAUAGAGAAGUACCGUGUCACUUGCCUCCCCCUGGUGCCACCUAUACUCUUGGUAAUGGUGAAGGAAGCUGAUGAGAUACGAAAGAAGUACGAUUUGAGUUCGUUGCAAUCAAUAGUGUGCGGUGGCGCUCCGUUGAGCAAGGAUUUGAUAAAUAGGUUUAUGGAAAAGUUUCCAAGCAUUGAUAUUCGGCAAGGGUACGCGAUGACAGAAUCGACAGGAUUUGGCGCAUCAAUGCAAACGCCGGGGGAGUGUCUCAAGUAUGGCAGUGUAGGGUUGCUAUCGCCGAACUUGGAAGCCAAAAUUGUAGACCCUACAACUGGUACGGCCUUGAAGGUCAAUCAGAAAGGGGAGCUUUGGCUAAGGGGUCCCUCCAUUAUGAAAGGUACGUAAUUUAUGAUCAAUCAAUUUUAGGUGGAGACAGUGAGUGUGUCCCCAUAUUGCGUGUAUUCAAGACAAGUCCAAAUAAUUUUAUCAAAUGCAAAGAUCUUUGCUUUGAUUUUGUUUUCGGCAUGUUGUUAAUUUUUAAUCCCAGGAGAAAGAUCUUUGCAAUUAAGAAGAAUAAACAAGAUUUGCCUGGCGAGUCCCCGGGAAAGAAUAACACGAAAUCCACUUAAAAAAUGCAUUGCUGUUACAUCUAAUUAUGUAUUUUUCUAAUAUUGAUAAUUAUUUUAUUGAAUGUAUAUAUUUUGCUGACUAUUUAACCAUUUCAAUUUCAACUAUGGGAGUAAAUUAUUAAUAUUAAAAUUACAAAAUAAUUAUUUCAUUAUUUUUAAAAUGUUCAUAACCCCCUUAAAAUACCGUUUGAAACACAUGUAUAAUAUAUUUAAUAUCCACGUAAUUAUCAAAUGGUAUUUUAUAGAUUUUUAAAAUUUAAUAAUUAAAAUGUGAAUUUAUUAAUAAUUUAGUCACCUAAUUUGUAUUACUUCACUUAUAUUUAAUGAAAUUGAAUCCAAGUAGACUGAAAUUUCAAUUUAUCAAGAUAACAUAAGAAAAAUAUGGGAUUAUCCAAAGUUUAAACAUUAUGAGCUCAAGGGAAAGUUGUUGAAUCAUAUAUUCUAAUUUAGUAAUGAAAUCUUACAUCCCUAUCCAGAGCUUCCUAAAUUUUAUACUAACAAAAAAAUCAUAAUUUUUCUUAAUCUAAGCCCCCAAUCAGUAAUGAACUCUAAACUUAUAUAGUAGGAUUGAUAUAUGUAAUAUUUUAACAUGAAAUUUGGAUAUCCUGAAAAGUUAGAGAUGUGUGUUGUUGAUUGGUGGGCCUGCUGCUGCUGCUGCUGGUAUUUUAGGUUAUCUGAAUAAUGCAGAAGCCACAGCAGCUACUCUCGAUUCACAAGGAUGGUUAAAAACCGGUGAUCUUUGCUACAUCGAUGAUGAUGGCUACGUCUAUGUUGUUGAUAGGUUGAAGGAGCUGAUCAAAUACAAGGGAUAUCAGGUCACCGCAUAGUUCACAAUUUGCUUCAUAUAUUCUAUACAAAAUCACAGGUUAACCAUUUACACUUACAGGCUUUAUUUAUAUUUGUUUUAGGUUCCUCCUGCUGAAUUGGAGGCAUUGUUACUUUCUCACCCACAGAUUUCUGAUGCUGCUGUCAUACCGUAAGUUUAUAUAGAGCUGCUUCCACUUGAAACACCCUUUGUUGCACAAGAUUCAGAGAUAUUAUUUGGUUUGCGAUUAGGUUUCCGGAUGAAGAGGUUGGGCAGUAUCCCAUGGCGUAUGUGGUUAGAAAAAGUGGAAGCAAUAUAUCAGACACUGCACUCAUGGAUUUUGUAGCAAAACAAGUAAGCAAUUAUAUACAUACAUACAUACAUAUAAUAGUGUUUUAAACCCAAGAUUGCGAAUGGGUAUGAUGAUUUAGCUUAAGCUAUGAAAUGAACAAAAUAGGUUGCACCAUACAAGAGAAUUCGGAAAGUGGCAUUUGUAACUUCAAUACCCAAGAAUCCAUCUGGGAAGAUUCUAAGAAGGGAUAUCAUCAAGCUUGCAAUUUCCAAAAUUUGAGGGCAUCUCGUUUGCAGCUCUAUAAUAAUAAUAAUAAUAAGAUGAUGAAUGCAUUUCCAAAGUAAAGUUUCACUUCUUUGAUUGUUUCGGAGAUGGGAGUUUUUCAUUUCUCAUGUCUGGUUCAUCAAUGUGGUUCUCAAUAAUUUCAUUUUUAAAAUUUAAAUUUGUGUUGUCCUAAUAAAAGUUACAAUAUACUGUAUCAGCACUUAAUAUUUGUUGUUGUCUGGAAUAAAUUUUAAGUGGGACAAUGAUUGAUCUGAUAAAUUUGUUUAGCGUUAUCAUUGCUAUUCCCGUCUGUCCAAGGCAUUCAUUCGGCUUUAUGCUUUUUGUUUGAUCUGAUAAAUUACAUUAAAAAUAUUUUUGAUUGAUAUAAUAAUAUUUAGCUCCUAAAAUUAAGAUAUUCUAUCAAUAUAGUUUCAAUUUAAUAGAUUUAAUUUCGACAUUUAAUAAUAUAUAUUAAGGGUUAAAUUUGUUAAAUUUUUUAGAAUCAAGAUCAAAUUGACAAAAUAUGUAAAUAUUAAGGGUUAAAUAUGUUUAUAUACCAAUCAAAUUUGUGUACAAUUAACGAAAUAUAUUUACAAUAUAAUUGAUUACCUUUAAUUGCUCACUUUUAAAAUUGAUAAAGAUUAAAAUACUCCAAUCUUUUUAAAAAGAACUAAUUUACUUAAUUUUAAAAAUAAGAGGUAUUGGAAAGGUAUUUUUACCAAGAAAUUAUAGAGAUGUUGUUUAAAAUUUUUUAUGUUAUAGUUAUUCAAAAUUGCAUUCAAUUUCUAAGCCUCUUCUAUUUGUAUCCCUUAUUAUCAGAAAACAAAAUCCUUGCAUUAUGAUAAUGGCAUGAUUGGUACUCGGCCAUUUCGAAUUAUUUAGUUUCUCUAUCACAACACUGUGCUUCUUUUUAAUAAUAUAUUUUUAUAAUUUCAAAAUAUAUAUUUAUUAGUUAAUGAAAAUUGGUGUAAUUUAUAAUAAAAAAUUCAUUAAUUUUAAAAAAUAAUGGAAAGAAUAAAAUAAUAUUAAUAUGCUAUCAUAAUAAUUAAUAUUAUCACACUAAUUGUAACAUCCCUACCCGUAUCUGUCACCAGAACAGGGUACGAGGCAUUACUGGAGUUACAAAUUUAUUUAUCAGACAUUUUAUUUCAUCUAACAUUCAUAGUUGGGACCAAUCAAAAUCAAACAUAUUGCCCCCUAAACAUACUUAUUUUCCUUGUAUCAACGUAUAAAAAAUAAUCACAUAUUUACAUGUCAUGAUAAAUAUCAUUCUCUUGCCGUUUCUUCAUAAACAUAAAUCAGUUAAUUCAUUAUAUCAAUAUUUCAUGUACCAUCAACUCGUAUUUCCUUAUAUCACAUAAUUAGGUUUCAUGAACUUAUCUGGCUAAAUUGCAAAAAUACCAAGAUUCAGGGGCAUUUCGAUAAUUUUAUAUUUUCCUCGAUUUUUCAACCAAUCUUGACCUAAAUUAAUAAUUUCAUUCAAUUUAUAAAUUUAGACAAUAAAAUAAUUCAUUUCACUCAAUUUGGUCAUUUUUGAUAUUUUUACAAAAUUGACCCUAAAGUUUUACUUUUAUUCAAUUUAGUCCCGAGCCUAAAACAUGCAAUUUAACCACUUUAAUGUAACCCAUGAUAACUAAAUAUUCAUAUAUAUUUUCCUCCUCCUCUCCAUUCCACAUCCUUAAUAUAUAUAAUUCCACUAUUUUCUCAUAUGUUCAUAUCAAGCUGUCCACUUGAGUCAUAGUCACUAAAUUAUUUAUAUCUUGAGAUACAAAAUUCUAAAUUAAUAACCGCUUGAUGUUUCUGAAACUAGACUCAAAUAUAUUUCUACCAUAAAAAUUUCAGAAUUUAUAAUUUAGCCAGUAAGUACGGUAAAAUCUUCAAACUUACCCCUAUUCUACUGUUUAACAGCUUCGACCUUUCCUUACUAAAAAUUAAUUAUCUUUUAGUACAAAAUUUGGAUGAUGUUUCCGUUUGUUUCUAUUGAAAAUAGACUCAUUAAAUAUUUAAACAUAUAAAUUUAAUCCCCUAAUUAUUUUUAUCCAAUUUUUUUUAUGAUUUUCCAAAGUCAAAACAGAGGAACCAGAAAUUAUUCUGACCUUGUUUCAUAAAAUUUAUUAUAUCUCACAAUUUACAAUUCCAUUGCUUACACGUUUCUUCUAUGAAAAACUAGACUCAAUAAACUUUAAUUCCAUAUUUUAUUCAACCUCCAAUUUGAUUUCCACAAUUUUUGGUGAUUUUUUAAAGUUUAACUACUGCUGCUGUCCAAAACUGUUUUAGUGCAACAUAUUGAUUACUAAGUUUAUAACACUCUUAUUUCCAUUCUCUACAAUAUUUCCCACCAUUUUCUCUUAUUUCCUUUCACUAAUAUAUCAAGAACAUAGAACCUUAUAUAAGAAAACUUUACCUUAACAUUAUUUUCAUGCUUUUGAUAUUACCUUACAUGAGAAACUCUACUUAAAAAAUAUUGAUGAAGUCUUAAAGUUUUUACCUUGUCCUAUUGAUUUUAAUCUUUAAUUUGAUUUUUCUCUCUCCUCCAACUUCUAUUUCUUGAAUCCAACUUGAUAUUCUAACUCCCCUUAGUCUCCUUAACAUUUUUAUCUCUUGGUAGCUAUGGAAAUUCUUUUGAUUUCUAGGUGAAAAUGGUAAAUUUUUGGUGGAAGGACUAAUUUGUAAAGAAAGCAAAACUUUCUUUCUUCUCUUCUCUUCUAACGUGAAAUGCAUGGAAAGAUGAUGGAUGGUGUGUGUGGGGGGAAAUUUACUAAAAAAAUCCCUUUUAUUUCGUUAUUUACCAAGAUGGCCCGACUUUUUGAUUAUUUGCUGGAAAUGACCAUUUUCCCUAAAAGCGCGUUCACGUCAGUGCGAAGUCAGGGGACGUGUCAGCAAAACGCUCUCCCAGGGAAGCGUUUUGCCCCCAAGGGUCACAUGACCGUUUGAACUCCAAACUCCAACAGUCAAAAAAAAAUAUAAAAGGCCCCUCCCCCUUUCAUUUUUUCACACAAUAGUCCUUUCACAAUUCUCUUUAAAUUCUUUCUAAAUUCUCUCAAAUUUCUCUCCAAUUUCAUCAAAGCUGUCUCUAAUUUUUGCAAAAAAGCUUUGUUAAAAUUUAUUUUAAAGUAGUUUUAUUUUAUAGAUUACAAAAAUAUCCGAUCGUAUUAGCAAUGGCCGGAGAAUUAAUUUGUUUCGAUACGAAACAAAUUUCCGUCGAUCAAAUGACAAUGGUAAGUGAUAAGUUUAAUUAAUUUUUGAAUAGUAUUUAAUUUUUUUCAUUUAUGUAAUUUUAAUUAAUAUUUAUUUUAUAAUUUUUUUAUAACAGUCUGUAGAUCGGGUGUUGCAAUGCUAUAUCCGUAAUAUGUCUGGUCCUCCAUCGCCAUUGAUAGAGAAUUACCUGCGGGAAGCGGGUUUUUGGCACGUGGCCACGAUAGGCCGGGGGUGUAAGUUGGACUCGAAACUAAUCAGUGCAUUGAUAGAGAGGUGGAGACCCGAGACACACACUUUUCAUCUUCCAUGUUGAGAGUGUACUAUCACUCUAGAAGACGUGCAAUUGCAAUUGGGAUUGCCGGUCGAUGGAUACGAAGUCACUGGGUCCACUCAAUCUGCUGAUUGGGGGGCCAUAUUCUAUGAGCUUUUGGGUGCUAUUUCGGAUAAUAUUAAUAGAGGUAGGAUCGAGAUGGGCUGGUUACGAGACACAUUUUCGGAGCCGGAUAAUGAUUCGUCUGAAUUAGAAAGAAUACGAUAUGCUUGGGCAUACAUUCUUGAGAUGAUUGGAGGUUAUCUGAUGCAGGACUUGUCACGAAAUCACGUACAUCUGAGAUGGCUGUUGAAACUCGUUGAUUUUAGAGCAGUAGGUGAAUUAAGUUGGGGGUCUGCUGUGUUAGCAACAUUGUACCGGGAGAUGUGCGGGGCGACACGACCGAAUAAAGCCAAAAUCAGAGGAUGCCUAUCACUACUGCAAUCAUGAGCACGGUUUCGCUUUCCAUUUUUACGUCCUCGAGUGAACCACCCAUAUACAUUCCCACUAAUUGUAACAGCCCGAUUUUGGGCAUAGUCGGAACAGUGGUUUUGGGACCACUAUUUCGAGGCCAGAGAAAAUUAUUUUAGUAUUAUUUUAUGUGUUAUAAUAUAAUUUUAUAAGUGCAUGUAAAUUUUGGUAAGUUAAUUUUAGCGAUUUCUAGUCCAAUUUCGAAAAAAGACUAAAUCGCGUAAAAGGUAAAAGUUGUAUUUUAGUGCCUAAAGGUGUUAAUAGACUAGAGAACUAAAAUUGGAGGCCUUUAAAGGGCAAUUGGACCCUUUUAAUAAAAUAAAAAUAGGAUGAUAUCAUCCCUUUUUCAUCUUCUCUCCACCGAUUUUUCCAGCCAAGAAAUGGGUUUUGAAAGCUUCAUAUUUUCAGCAACUUUGAGGCUUAGCAAGUAAAUGAUUUUAAUGUCUUUCUUGAAGAUUUUUACAUUUUUGUAACCCCUAAAGCAUGAGCUUUCAUAAGAGGGGACUAUUGUGCAAAAUGAUGAAGAGUCUAGGGUUUUGCCAUAAGAGUAAAUGUGUGGUUUGUUGUGUUUUUAUGGAAGAUUAUGAGUUCUAGUUGUCUAAUAAACAACUUUUGUGAAAGAAAUUGCAUGAAAACACCCUAAAAAGGGCUAGAUUGCUAAGUUGUAAAAGGAGUUAUAAAUAUGUGAAAUAGUUGAAAUUAUGAGUUGCUAUAGUUAUGAAAAUGGUUCAUCUAGACUCAAGGAGUAAAGAAAUGUGAUAAAAAUUAUUUUACGAGCCUAGGGGUAAUUUGGUAAUUUUGGUAAAAUAUAGGGGCAAAAUUGUAAAAAUAGCCCAAGUGUGUCAAUGGACUAAUUUGAUCAGUACAUUGUUUUAAUAAGUUGAAUGUGAUGUUUUAGAUGAUGAAAAUCGAGAUUUGGACCUAGAACGGAAAUAAAUCGAUUAAGGGAUAAUUACGUCUUUUUUUUACCUUUGUGGUAUUGAGGUAAGUUCGUAUGUAAACAAUACCAUGUUAUACAUGUAUUUAAAUGUUAUCCUUACAUGAAUUGUACAAAUAUUAAUGUGUAUGUGAUUAAUAGAAAUAUGAUAAGACAGAGCCUUAAUAGACGAGGAAAAAUCCCGUUUGAACAUUUGGAAUAGAAUAGGAUACGAGUGACAUGUCACUAGGAAUUAUGAGUCUAGAUGACUAGCUCGAGAGUGAGCAUUGAAAUGUCAUAAGAUAUGAGGUAGCUUUAGCUACAAUUGAGGCACUUAUGUGCAAAGGCUUUUCCGAGUAUCCAAUUAGUAUUCCAAGUGUUCAACGGGUAAUCCAAGGAAAGAGUUGAUGAUGGUCCCAAUGAGGUAAGUCAUUGGUGAGUAUGCACUUGAGUUAUGUUACGAGUUGUGCAAGUAUGUAUACUAAGCCUAUGAGAAUGCCUUGAUAUGUGAUGAUCUAUGAUGCAUAAUAUGUGUUCUUACCAUGAUGGAUGAAAUGAUGUUGUAUUAAUUUUGUGAACAAUGAUCAUGAAUGAGUAACUUAGCCUUGACAGAUUUGAGUUACUGCAGUAGUGUAACUUUGAAAAUACACUAAAAAUAGCGGAAAAUGAGUUAGAGGCAGAAUAAAAUAUGGGAUUAAAUCUUAAUGAGUCUUUUUUCACAUGAAAGAAACAGGGGAAGAAAAAUAAUUCUAUAUUGUGUGAUAUUUGAAUUCUUGUAAAACAGGGUCUGAAUGAAUUCGAGAUCCCCUGUUCUGAUUUUAUAAAUUCACCAUAAAUUGUAAAAAAAUUAUUAAGAGUCAUAUCUUACAUGAAUGGAUUCCUUAUUAAGUCUAUUUUUACGCGAAAUAAACGGCAUGGUCAUUGGAAUUCUGUACAGGGAGAAAUUCAGUUCGUAGUGUAGAGGGGUCAGAGUAGUCAUACCCCGAAACAUGGAAUACUUUAACUAAUAAACUGUACUAAAUGGCUUGACCAAAAAUUUUGAAAAUUUUAUGGAAGAAAGAUAAAUGAGUUUAAUUUCAGGUAAAAUUUAUGGAACUUAAUUCGGAGUUUCGUAGCUCCAGAUAUAAAUAAUUUAGUGACUGUUGUGCAGGAAGACAGCUUGUCUUAAACUUGAGAAUAUGUUGUAAAAAUUGAUAAAACAAGUUAAUGAGUUGCUUAUUGUUUUCAUAUGAACUUACUAAGCGGAAGCUUACCCCCUUCUUUUCCAUGUUCUCUAGGGUUUCCAGGUUUGUUCGGGUUGGAGUUCGUCGGAGAUAUUAUCACAUUGUCAAGCUAAUGUUAUUGGUGUAGUGAUUUCAAGUACUUUGAGUCUAUGGCAUGUAUAGGAGUUUAAAUAUUAGAGUAUGUGAUAUGGCUUUGACCAUAUGUGUUGGCCUAUUUUGAUUAUGGGAUUAUAAAUUCAUUUUAAUUAUUUGAGAUUUCAUGGCUCUGUUUAGUAUAGAAGUGUUAGUAAAAGUUAGGUAGCACCUCGAACCCCGUCCCGGCGUCGGAUGCGGGCGAGAGGUGUUACACUAAUAACGAGGUAAAUUUUAUAUUAGAUUUUACAAUUAUUACAUAGAUUAAAAUAUAAUUGUAUGCUAAAAAAUUAUUUAAUUAGGUGGAACCAUUCGGCCAGUUAUAUUGGAAUACCCACAUCUCUUGAAGAUAUACAGCUUCUAUUAGACCAACGGUCGGAAGCACAAGUAAGUAUUAAAAUAAAAUAUAUAUAUACAUAAUAAAAUAGUUGUUUCGUAUUUAAUAUUUAGUAUUUAGUAUUUAGUAUUACCUAUAUAACUAAUAUUUUUAUCAUGUUCAUAUAGUUUCAAUGGACACCAUACGAGGAUCCGGCAAUUCGGGCAGUAAUUCGGGAUGAAUUUUUUUAAAAUCCGAACAUUUGGCAUGUGAAGUUCCCAUUGGUCAACUAUGCUAUCGUGGAGAUGCACCAGUCAGAUAGGGUAUUGCGGCAAUUUGGAUUCCGACAACUGAUUCCCGUGGAACCUGAGGUGCUCGAUGAUGAGCACAAAGUCGACUUACGGCUAUUGAAUACGGAUUGGCCGAGACACUGGUCAGGAUAUAUCGAAAUAUGGGAAAAUCAGUAUGACUAUAUAGCUACUCGAGAAUCGAUAAUCGUUCCUAAGUUAGCAUGCGUGCCAAAAUACAUGCCAUGGUUUAGGAUCCAUGGCAAGCCAUAUUUACUAUCGGAAGAGAAGAGGCGACGGCAAAUUCCUGUGCAAAGGAAACGACGAGACCCUUUAAAUCCAAGAAGAAGGGAUGAUGACGCGGGCCCAUCAGCAGCCUUUUCAGAUUAUGCUAGGUACGUAUCCUAGCCAUUAUAUGUAUCUUAACCCUUUUAUGUUUCCUUUUUUUAGUCCUAUGGCAGGUUGAAAUGCAUGGCCCGGUUCAUCUCCGUUCCUAAUUACUCCAAGUCAACCGUCGAUCAAUAGGCCACUGUCGCAAGAGGGAUCGCACGAGGCGCCGUCGGGGAGCUCUUCUUUUUACCAUUCCCCAUCGCCUUAUGGGAUUCAAACACCUUUACCAUGGGUGAUGCAAACACCUCCGCAUUCAUUAUUCUAUCAAGGUGGGUGAUCCUCCCAACACCCACAACCAAAUCCCCUACCGGAGGAACCACAAUCCCCACUGGAGCAACCACAACCCUCGCUGGAAGCUGAACUAAAAAGGAAUUCAGCGCGUAACCGUCGACGACCCCCAUGUGACACUGAUUUCUACCGACACCAACAUUGAUUUUUUUAAUAUAUUUGUAGAAACAUUUUUAUAUAGUUUUAUAUAAUAAAAUAAAAGUUGUUUUUAAUAUUUUAAUUGUACUUUACUUUUUUUAAUUUUAUUAAAAUAAAUGUUCUUUUAAAUUAGCCAAUAUUUUUAUUAUUUUUAUGUUUAUUUUUAUAUAGUUUUAAUUAAUAAAAUAAAUUUUUUUUAAUAUUUUAAUUGUACUUUAAUUUUUUUAAUUUUAUUAAAAUAAAUAUUCUUUUAAAUUGGCCAAUAUUUUUAUUAUUUUUAUAUUUAUUUUUAUAUAGUUUUAAUUAAUAAAAUAAAAGUUGUUUUUAAUAUUUUAAUUGUACUUUACUUUUUUUAAUUUUAAUACAAUAAAUGUUCUUUUAAAUUAGCCAAUAAUUUUUAUUAAAAUAAAUGUUAUUUUGAAUACAGCAAUAUUUUUAAUAUUUUUUAUAUUUUUAAUAAAAUAUAAAUAAUGCAAAAUAAUUUUAUUACAACAACUAUCAGGUAUUCCGAUUUGGACAUGAUCGAGUUAUAUGGCUUGGGUUCCUACACCAUCCGCACAACCUCUGUUGGUUCGUUGCUUCUCAGGUAUCCAUAUUGUUACAUAUUCUAGUUGAGCAAGGUCGACCCUUUGGUUUGCGAUGCAAUUCUCUAUCCGGUAACAACUUAAACGGAGAAAGCAGUACAGGCGGCCACUUACGUUCAUCUGUGAUCGGUGGGAAUACGUGUCUCCACAUAUUGUACAUGUAUUCUAUUUUGUACACUUGGUCAACAUACGUUAUGGGAUCCAGACGGAGAUUCUGACAAGCUGCAAUUACAUGAGUGCAUGGAUAACGUAGUGCGUCAAACACUCCACAGUUGCAUGUCUUAUUUCUCAAGUGUGCACGAUAUUGCCUAGCAAUAAUACCUUGGUUCGGUCUGUCAAACUCCGUCACACGAAACCAUAGGUUGUCGCGAUCAUGACACACUAUGUGCAUGGUGUUGGCUCGUGCCUUCGCCUUGUUAAUCUCUCGCAACACCUUCGCGUACCAUACAUGGCCUCCCUGCAUUUGGCCUUUAUAACUCGCUGCUCGCUUUGAAAAUAGUGCCGCUAAACGAAAAUAUGUCUCUCAUACAACGACUGUUAUGGAAAAAUGACACGUUCCUUUUAGAACAGAAUUUAUGCAUCCAGCCAAGUUUGAGGUCAUAUGAUCAUAUCGUAGGCCGCCGUUGUAUGCUUGUGUCCACUGUUCGAAAGGUAUGUUACAAAGGUAGUCUGCGCCUUCUUCGUUAACUAAACACAAAACCGCUAACUUUUCAUGAAAACGGUCAUUACAUAUCUCAUACCCUACCAAUAUAAGUUGAUAACGAAAAUUACAUACCACUCUUCCAUUCAGAAUAAAUUGAAUAUUACAAAUAAAAUUAUAUUAAUAGAGAUUAAAUACCCAUGUUGGUUACUUACCGUCGUUCAGUUGUAUAUCGAUAUUGCCCGUAGUAGUUGGACGCAACGUGCCUUAGGCAAUACUGAUGGUGUGUGCGAUGCCAUUGGCUUCCUUGUCGCUCAAUUGUGGCUUGUAUUCUAGUGCCCCGAUCUGAUAUAAUGCAUAUAUCAGGUUAGGGCCAGACAUGCUUCCUUAACCUAGAAAGAAAGAAAUCCAGUCAUCAGCUGACUCCCCCGAUGUUAUUGCAAAUGCAAUUGGAAUGAUUCUCCCACUGCUAUCUUGUGCCACAACUAGCAAUAGUCGAUGGGUAUAUCUACCAUACAUAAAGGUACCAUCAAUUUGUACCAAUGGUUUGCAGUAUAUAAUGUGUCCCGACAUUGCUUAAAGCUCUAGAACAGAUGCUUGAACACUUGGUAUGCACAGAGCAAUUGGUCGUUGUAGUACGCAGGUGCUGUUUCAAGGUCUGUUAUGCAACCUGGGACAUAUCUCUCCAUCACCUGACACCACUGCCAUACUUCAUUAUAUGAAGCGUCCCACCUACCAUGCAUCUUUUCCAACGCCUUCUGCUUAGCUAUCCAAACCUUGCGGUAAGAGGACGUGUACUUCAAUUGGCUACAAAUAUUAGCAAUUAAAACCGUCACUGAAGUCUUCGGAUCUGCCUUCAGCGUCGGUAGUAUUAAGCUAGCUAACAUAUCUGAAUCCAUCUUGGGAUGAUCUUGUGAAACGCAUGUCAAUGAAGUAUGUUAAAUAAUGUAACAUUACGUAAUAACAGUUUUAUUCAAAAACCUUAAACACCUAAUGAUACUUUACCGCCAACACAUGUAUAUGGACCUUUGUACUUUUUAAUCUCCCACAAGUUUGUCUUUUUCCUCAAUGAGGCCAUGCUUUUUCAUGAACAUGUACCGUCUUGCACUGCACACUUGGCCUCAAACUUAUCGGAUUUGAAUUUAACCACGUUGUAGUUAACCCCGUUCAUGAUGUUAUGUUGUUUCAAUGCAGCAAGAAAACUAUCCUUAUUGGAAAACUCCCUACCAACUUCAAUUUCACCCGAAUCUAAUGACGAACUUGUACGAUCACACCUUCUGUGUGGUAGAUCUAGAAACUCCAACGCAUCAUCUUGAAAUAGAUCGACAUUAUGCAUGUAGGCUGAAGGCGAGUACGCCCUGAAUUGCGGAUCUUCUUCAUCUUCAUCUGAACCCACUUCAACAUCUUCAAGUAUUGUUGGAACAGGCUCCGGUUGAGAAAAUAAUCCAACUUCUACACCAUCGGGGCCGGGCUCUCGAGGUGGAUCCACAUUGGAUUCAUCAUUCGACCCACCAUCAUCUGCAACGAACGAGGUCCCCUCGCCGGUGGAUGUUGUAGGGAGUACAUCAUCCCUUCUUCUAUAUGUUUCAUAAUGUCCUCAAUCCGAUGUGGAUUGCCAACCACUAGAAGUUGAUGUCAUUCCCCAGUAUGUAUUUCCAGUAUCAAACAUCGACCCACUAAGGUGCAUGUCUCAUCCACAAAAGGAGUGUCGUGCAGGGGUUGUGUAUUCCAUACUGCUACCAAACACGGGCGCUUCCGUGUUUUACCACCCACUAACGUAGUGUCAGGCAGGAGUCGUGUAUUCCUCUUGAACAGCAUUAAAUUUUGAAGUCGCAAAUGCAUCAUUUGGCGAUGAAAAUUGUACAUAUAACUCAAGAUAAGGUGAUCCACUAGCAAGAUAAGUCUGCACCAUUGCCUCCAAGCUAUGAGGACUUUUGAUGUCGAAUGAGACAUAUCUCAUGGGAUCAACCGAAGUACAAAAUCAAUACUUAAUAGACAAAACUUUCAUUGGCGUCGUUCCGAAGAUUUUACGCCUAAUUCUUUUACGAAGUUCUGUCAAAUCUAUGUUCUGGUUAAAAACCAGUCGCGCUAUGCUCUUCAAUAAAAAAAACAACGCUGUUUUCAGUGUCAUAGACCUCACCAUCAUAGAAAAUAACAGCACUAAUACGUUCACUAAUCUUCAGUUUCUAUUUUACUUUAGCCUCAAUUUCUCUUGUUGUAACUUAUGCAACCUGAGAAUGAAAUCUGGCUCAUUUAUAGUCUAAGGCGUUUUCAGAUACUACUGUAGCAAAAGAGUGUCCACGUGGGAGCUUUUUUCCGUAAUUUUGCUGACAGUGCAUCAUUCUUAAAGCAUUUUUGACACUAUUUGUUCAGAAACAUCUUCUCAAAAUUAUUUUUUCAAAUACUACUGUAGCAAAAUAGCAUCCAUGUGGGAGCUUUUUCCUGUAAUUUUACUGACAGUGCAUCAUUCUUGAAGCGUUUUUGACACUAUUUAUUCAGAAACAUCUUCUCAAAAUUAUUUUUUCAGAUACUACUGUAGCAAAAGAGCGUCCACGUGGAAGCUUUUUUCCGUAAUUAAUAGUUAAUUUAAUUAAUAAACCCUAAAAAAUCCUAAACCCUAAUUUAAUUAUUUUUUAAUUUAAUAGUUAAUUUAAUUAAUUAACCCUCAAGUCUAAUUAAAUUAAUUUUUUCCUUAAAAAAUACUAAAAUCCUAAACCCUAAAAACCAUAAACCACUAAACCGUAACCUUAAAAUAAUAAAAAAACCUUAACCCUAAAACCCCUAAACCCUAAUUUAAUUGAUUUUUUUUAAUUUCAUGGUUAAUUUAAUUAAUUAACCCUCAACUCUAAUUAAAUUAAUUUUUUCCUUAGAAAACACUAAAACCAUAAACCCUAAAAACCCUAAACCACUAAACAUUAACUUUAAAACAAUCAAAAACCCUAACCUUAAAAAACCCUAAACCCUAAUUUAAUUGAUUUUUUUUAAUUUCAUAGUUAAUUUAAUUAAUUAACCCUCAACUCUAAUUAAAUUAAUUUUUCCCUUAAAAAAUACUAAAACCCUAAACCCUAAAAACACUAAACCACUAAACCCUAACCCUAAAAAAAGGGUCAAAACGCUCCCCCAAUGAAGCGUUUUGCUGACACGUCCCCUAACUUCACGCCAACGUGGACACGCUUUUGGGGAAAAUAGUCCUUUUCGGUAAAUAAUCAAAAAAUCGGGCCAUUUCGAUAAAUAACGAAAUAAAAGGGCUUUUUUUUAGUAAAUUGCCCGUGUGUGUGUUGUUUUUUUUUCCACACACACAUAUAUAUAUACUAAAUAAAAUAAAAAAAUAAUCAUAAAUAUCUUAUUAAAAUAUUAAUAAAAUAAUAUUUAUCUAAUUAAUUAAUUUAAAAUAUCAUCAACAUAAUCAUUACAUUCUAGAAUUCCCUCUCUUACUAAGUGACCAUUUUGCCCUUCAUAAUCUUUUAAAAUUCCAUCAUUGAGUCAUCACUUAAUUUGGGAAAAUUAUGAUUUAGUCCCUCAUAAUUCUUCACCUAUUCGAUUUGUUCCUAAUUCAUCUAUUUUCCUUAGUUUCUAGUUUAUUCCACCCCUAAAAUAUUUGCACUAUUGGUCCUUCAAAUUUUUCAUAUUUACACUUUAACCCCUCAAAUUUUGAGUAUUUACUCUUGGGCAACAAAACUUUUCUUACUUUUACAAUUUAGUCCUUUCUUUAAUUAAUAAUGUAAUAUAUCAUAAUAUACUUCCCAAUGUUGACAUAAUAAAAUUUCCCUUUUUGUCACUUUAUUUCCUUACUUAACUACAUCAAGGAUAAUAUCUUACUUUCUUACUGUAGUAAUUUUCAGGGUAUUACAUUUUUCUCCCCCUUAAAAAAAAAUUUGUCCUCGAAAUUUCCUUGUUUUCUUUUGAUCAUAAACUUCAUUAUAUUCUAUAGUUCCUUUCUGUAUAUAUAUCUAGUUUAUCAUUUAUAUCCAUUCUCAAUCCAUUCGUUUCACAAUUUAUUUUUAAUUCAAAGAUAAUUCCUUACCUUGUAACAAAAAUUAUUUAACUUUCUAACAGAGGCGCAGUAAAUUGAACUGAACAAUUUGGAUAUAAGGAACUGAUACAGAGGUGCAUUAUUAUGCACUAUUAAACAGAGAGUACUGAAGUGCUAUACAGAGAGCAUAGAUGUGCUAAGCGGAGAGCACUAAUGUGCUAAUAAUCAGAGAGCACUAACGUACUAAUAAUCAGAUAGCGCGCUAGAGUUCCUUAAUGUCAUGCCACUAAUAUCCUAGUAGUUCUAAAUUUCGUCUACUUCAGCAUUAAAACUGAAUUUCAUACAUUUAAAUACUUUACAAUUUAAUCCUUGUACCAAUAAUCCAUACAUUUAUAUAUUCUCUAUCUUUGAUACAUGUAAUAUAUUUCAAAAUUCACUAGUCGUUCGUAAUUUACUAAUAAUUCUCAUCAUGUACUUCAUAUAUCACUUUUCAAUUCCAAUUUCACUUUCAUUUUAUUCACAACUCAAUUUAAUUUCACUUUCUCAUCAAUAUACAAUUAAACACUAAUAUUUAUCCAUCACUCAAUUCAAUUUCCAUUCAAUUCAACAAUAACACUUACCUUCUACUUCACUUACCAUACACAUAAUUUAAAUUUAACAUUUAAUAAUAAUUAAUUUGAAUUGUAGUAAUACAACCAUACGCUGAAUAUGUCUAUAUUCAGUGGUAUUACCAUAAUUCAAAUUAUAAAAACUAUAAUAAAUAAUAGACAUCAAACAUGUAACAUUAUAAGUCAUAUGUGUUAAUUUAUGCUUUAAUUUCAUAUCUCAACAAUAGUCUUUCAUCAAAUGGCAUCAUAUAUAAUCUAUAUUAUCUUUAAUCAAAUCAUGAACCUUUGGUUCAAGCUUUCAAUCACAUAUCUCAAUUUCAAUUCACAUUUCAAUUCAUAAUUCCACUUUUUCAUACUUUCAAUAGUUCAAUCGAUCAAAUUCAUUCAAUUUUCUCAUUUCAUUUAUUCAACUGAUUUCAAUAUCAACAAUUUGAUAUUUUAGCAAAUUCAUGAACCUUAGGUUUAUGCUUCAAAUCUCACAUCUCAAUUCAAUUCACAAUUCAACUCAUAAUUUCUUUCUCAUAUUUUUAAUAGUACGAUCAAUCAAAUUUAUUUAAUUUUCUCAUUUCAGUUAUUCACCCUAUUAACAAACUUGGACUUUGACGGAUACAAGGAUUCCAAUCCAAACACACCAGUACGACACAUUGUACCGAAAAUGGUACAUAGUACCUGAUCAGUAUAGGACACAUAAGUGCAUGAAACGACACACGAGGUGCCUGAUACGACACACGAGAUGCUUGAAAUACGACACACGAGGUGCCUAAAAUAUGACACAUAAAGUGCCUGAUCGGCAAAACCGAUAAAUCCCGUACUCUUCCAAAUCCUAUGGCAUGCCAAUUAUAUCCGACUAGCCUGACAAGUUAAUAGGGUAUUCAAUUUUCAUUUGAAUUUCACUUAAUAUUCAUAUUUACCCCUAUUAACAAGACUCGGACUUUGACGGAUACACGGAUUCCAACCAAACACACCAGUACGGCACUUAGUGCCUCAUCGGCUUUGCCGAAGUAAACAGUAACAGUACAGUACUUAGUACCUUAUCGAAUUAAACCCAUGUAACAGUAGCAGUAUGACACACAUGGUGCCUCAUCGACUAGAUGUUGAAGUAACAGUACGACACUUAUAGUGCCUCAUCGACUCAAGGUCGAAGUAUCCCUGAAUACUUCCAAUCCUAUAGCAUGCCAACUAUAUUCGACUUAGCCCGGUACAGUUAAUAGGGUAUUCAAUUCACUUUCCGGUUUCCAAUCAAAACACAUUUCAAUUAAUCACAUAUAUUCUCAAUUCAAUACAAUUCAAUUUACUUUUCAAUAACAAAUAUUCUAAUUUCGUAAUAAUCACAUAUUCAUAUCAAUUUUAUCACUUUCCCAAUCAAUAAAAUUUUCAAAUAUAACAUAUAUCCAAUAUUCUAUUUCCACAUCAAUCACAUAUAUCUAUACAAAUUCAAUUCAAUAUUGAUACUUACCUUAAAAUUUUACUUACUAUACACAUAAAUUUAAAUAUAACAUUUAUUCAUACCUUUAUGAAUUCCGAGUCAUCAUAAUCAACUUUUACUCAUAUACUUGAGUAUCGCUUUCAACAUUAUCAGAAUUAGCUCGGUUAGGAAAGCAUCUCUAUCUUUAAGUAAAACAAAUCUCAUCAGAGUCGGAAGAUAUCAUAUUAUCACAGGUUAUAUAAUGACAUGUAUUUCUAGACUUCACAUAUGUUACGUUACGUCUGAGAACCGACUAAACCGUAGCUCUGAUACUAAUAAAUGUAACACCCCCUACUUGUAUCCGUCACCAGAAUAGGGUACGAGGCAUUACCGGAGUUACAAAUUUAUUUAUCAGACAUUUUAUUUCAUCUAACAUUCAUAUUUGGUACCAAUCAAAAUCAAACAUAUUACCCCCUAAACAUACUUAUUUUCCUUGUAUCAACAUAUCAAAGAUAAUCACAUAUUUACAUGUCAUGAUAAAUAUCAUUCUCUUGCCAUUUCUUCAUAAACAUAAAUCAGCUAACUCAUUAUAUCAAUAUUUCAUGUACCAUCAACUCGUAUUUCCUUAUAUCACAUAAUUAGGUUUCACAAACUUAUCUGGCUAAAUUGCAAAAAUACCAAGAUUCAGGGGUAUUUCAGUAAUUUUAUAUUUUCCUCGAUUUUUCAACCAAUCUUGAUCUAAAUUAAUAAUUUCAUUCAAUUUAUUAAUUUAGACAAUAAAAUAAUUCAUUUCACUCAGUUUGGUCAUUUUUUAUAUUUUUACAAAAUUGCCCCUAAAGUUUUACUUUUAUUCAAUUUAGUCCCCGAGCCUAAAACAUGCAAUUUAACCACUUUAAUGUAAUCCAUGCUAACUAAAUAUUCAUAUAUAUUUUCCUCCUCCUCCUCUCCAUUCCACAUCCUUAAUGUAUAUAUAAUUCUACUAUUUUCUCAUAUGCUCAUAUCAAGCUGUCCACUUGAGUCAUAGUCACUAAAUUAUUUAUAUCAUGAGCUACAGAAUUCUAAAUUAAGAACCCCUUGAUGUUUCUGAAACUAUACGCAAAUAUAUUUCUACCAUAAAAAUUUCAGAAAUUAUAAUUUAGCCAUUAAGUACAGUAAAAUCUUCAAACUUACCCCUAUUCUGCUGUUUAACAGCUUCGACCUUUCCUUUCUAAAAAUUAAUUAUCUUUUAGUAAAGAAUUUGGAUGAUGUUUCUGUUUGUUUCUCUUAAAAAUAGACUCAUUAAAGAUUUAAAAAUAUAAAUUUAAGACCCUAAUUAUUUUUCUCAAAUUUUUUUUAUGAUUUUCCAAAAUCAAAACAGAGGAACCCGAAAUUAUUCUAACAUUGUCUCAUAAAAUUUAUUAUAUCUCACAAUUUACAAUUCCAUUACUUAAACCGUUUCUUCUAUGAAAAACUAGACUCAAUAAACUUUAAUUUCAUAUUUUAUUCAACCUCUAAUUUGAUUUCCAAUUUUUUUUUUGUGAUUUUUCAAAUUUUAACUACUGCUGUUGUCCAAAACUAUUUUAGUGCAACAUAUUGAUUACCAAGUUUAUAACACCCUUAUUUCCAUUCUCUAUAAUAUUUCCCACCAUUUUCUCUUAUUUUCUUUCACUAAUAUAUCAAGAACAUAGAACCUUAUAUAAGAAAACUCUACCUUAACAUCAUUUUCAUGCUUUUGAUAUUACCUUACAUGAGAAACUCUACUUAAAAAAUAUUGAAGUCUUAAAGUUCUUACCUUGUCCUAUUGAUUUCAAUCUUUAACUUGAUUUUUCUCUCUCCUCCAACUUCUAUUUCUUGAAUCCAACUUGAUAUUUUAACUCCCCUUAGUCUCCUUAACAUUUUUCUCUCUUGGCAGCAAUGGAAAUUCUUUUGAUUUUUAGGUGAAAAUGGUGAAUUUUUUGUGGAAGGACUAAUUUGUAAAGAAAACAAAACUUUCUUUAUUCUCUUGUCUUCUAACGUAAAAUGCAUGGAAAGAUGAUGGAUGGUGUGUGUGUGUUGUUUUUUUUUCCACACACACAUAUAUAUACUAAAUAAAAUAAUAAAAUAAUCAUAAAUAUCUUAUUAAAAUAUUAAUAAAAUAAUAUUUAUCUAAUUAAUUAAUUUAAAAUAUCACCAACAUAAUCAUUACAUUCUAUAAUUCUCUCUCUUACUAAUUGACCAUUUUGCCCUUCAUAAUCUUUUAAAAUUCUAUCAUUGAGUCAUCACUUAAUUUGGAAAAAUUACGAUAUAGUCCCUCAUAAUUUUUCACCUAUUUGAUUUGGUCCUAAUUCAUCCAUUUUCCUUAGUUUCUAGAUUAUUCCACCCCUAAAAUGUUUGCACUAUUGGUCCUUCAAAUUUUUUAUAUUUACACUUUAACCCCUUAAAUUUUGAGUAUGUACUCUUGGGCAACAAAACUUUUCUUAUUUUUACAAUUUAGUCCUUUCUUUAAUUAAUAAUGUAAUAUAUCAUAAUAUACUUCCCAAUGUUGACAUAAUAAAAUUUCCCUUUUUAUCCCUUUAUUUUCUUAGUUAACUAUAUCAAAGAUAAUAUCUUAUUUUUUUAUUGUAAUAAUUUUCAGAGUAUUACAGUAAUAAAUUAUUUUUUUAGCAAAUAAAGCCUCAAAAUAAUUACAUUAUUAUUUCAGGAUUAUUAUGAAUAAACUUACUAUCAAAUCCACAGCUUCAUGCGCAACAAUCUAGGAGAGGUUUUGUUAGAGAUCCUCCAUGUGCAAGUUGUAGGCAUGUUGAAGAGUCUAUUAUUUAUGUUUUGCGAAGUUGUGCCAAUACAAGAGAAAUGUGGUAGUCCCUUUAAGGAUUUGGGGGGAAUUUCUUUAUACUCCAUUGCCAGAGUAGAUCUCGUUGAUUUAAAAAAAAUUAUUAUUUUAAAGUUUAUUUUAUAUACUAUAGAUUAAUUGAUGCAUUAUUUUUCACUUAAAAUAUAAUUUUUUAACUAAUUGAAUUUUAGCUCUAUUAACGUAUGUAUUUAUUAACUGGGAUUACAUUAAAUUUAAGAAAAAAAAGAAAAAGAAAAAAGAGAGAGGAUGUCAUUGAAGUCGGUAUAGAUAAUUACAAAAGCAUUACAAUCAUGACUUAAAGACGUGAGCUUUUAAAAUUAUAUCUAUGAGUUGAUAAGACUUAUUCAAAUAUCUAAUUUGUCGCCUUCUUCCCAUCUCCCUUAUCCAAUUAUAUUUAAUGGUUUUUCCAUUUUUAAUUCCUACAUCCCUUAGAACUAUUAAGUGUAACAUAAAAAAUUAAAUGGGUAAAAUCAUAAACCGGCCACUUGUCCGUGGGCCUCCACUCCAAGUAACGUAUCCCGGGAAAGCGACGAAAAUAAAGUGGAGGAUAAGUUAUACCGAAGCCGAGGCCAUGGGGGCCCUCCACAAUCUCGAACCCUCCUCCUUAUUCACGACGUAAUUCGACACCUUUCUCCAACAAUCGUCUCUUUGUAUGGGCCCCAUUCACAGACCAUCGGGUCCCGCUAUCCACGUGUCACUAUUCCAGUGGUACCAUGCUCUCAUGAUAGUGCCACACUGAUUUUUUAAUUUCUUUUUCGUCUUUUGACUCUUAUUUCACACCAAUAAAGCAUAUCUUCACUCGCUUUCUUUGCUUGACACGUAGGAUCAAGGACAGGUGUCGAGUAGAGAAAGCGAGUAAGGUAGAAUCAAUUAGGGGUGCCAGAGUAGUGUUGUUAAGACAUAUUUCUCAAAGUUUAAUGCAGAGCUCGGUUACAUGGCGCUGGAUUGCCCAUCCCAUUUAAAUUGCGUUAAUUUUUUAAUGUUUUCUCUUUUCCCUAAACUGCGUCAGAUCCGUGUUUGAAAAUACUAUAAAAACCCAGUUCCUCUCGUUUCUUAAAAUCCAUCAAUCUGUGUAGCCAACUUUGUACGUACAAGUGAAGUGAUCCACAAUCUUGAUACGGUAAUACGUUAGGUAGCUUUCAGCAUACUUGUUUUGAGUUUAGUGGUUGUAGAUAAAGAAAAAAUGGCUGAGGAGCAUACCAAGGUUGGUGGUGAGGAAGCAGUGGAGAGCAAGGAGCGAGGGAUGUUUGAUUUCUUGGGGAAGAAAGAAGAUGAGAAGCCUCAACCUCAAGAGGAGGUGGUCGCCACCCAGUUUGAGAAAGUCAAGAUAGAAGAGGAACAUAAGGAAGAUGAGAAGAAACACAGUCUCCUGGACAAGCUUCACCUAUCCAAUAGCAGCUCCAGCUCUGUAAUUACUUUUUUUUACUUCCUUGCUUACUAUUCAUAGUUCAAACAGUCAAAUCUUUUUCAUAUAUAUUAUAACAUGCGUUGUAUGAAUGUUCAGUCUAGUGACGAGGAAGAAGGUGAAGGCGGAGAGAAGAUGAAGAAGAAGAAAAAGGAGAAGGGAAAGAAAGAACAGGACAGUGCAGUCCCAGUGGAGAAGUGCGAUGAGGCAGCAACAGUUCACCACUCAGAGACGCCGAAAAAGAAGGGUUUCAUGGAUAAGAUCAAAGACAAACUCCCAGGACAGCAUAAGAAAGAUGAAGAGGACACCACCCAACCACCAGCUGCUGCUGCCCCAACUGAGAACGACCACCAUGAAGGAGAGACAAAAGAGAAGAAGGGAUUUUUGGUGAAAAUCAAGGAGAAAAUUCCUGGUUACCACUCCAAAACAGAGGACGAGAAGGAAAAAGAGACCACUGCUCCCCAUUAAUGAAUCAAUAUAAUGCAUUUCAAGUAAAAGAUGUGUAGAGAUUGUGUGGUUUAUCAAUUUGUUGGAACUGUCUGUUCUCUGUUUUUCUUUUUGGGGUUGCAUACAUCAUAUAAAUUUCUGCGUCUGUUUUCCUGCUUGUAAGUUAAAAAGGAAAAAAAAGAAAAAAGAAGGUAUGUAUAUUUAAUGUUUUCAAUGUCAUUAUAAUAAUUAAGAAAUGACGGUAUUAUUUCCCUUUUAUCAAGUAGGUUUGUGCACUCUUAAAUGCAAGUUUUAACAAAUAUGAAUUAUUUAAAUAUACAUUUAAUUUUUGAAUUUAACAUUUUUUUUUCUAGGUUGAUGUUACUCAAAUUUUUAUUUCAUUAACUAAAUUAGUAUUAAUUUAAUUCGCGGAAUAAAAAUUCUAACAUUAGAAAAAAAUAAAUAUAACAUAAAUUAUAAAAUGAAGGAAAAAAAAAUUUCGACCGUAGUUAAUGAAUAAUGAUCAAUGAAAGAUCAGUGAAAAGCUAAUUCAUGUAACAAAUUGUUUAUUGGUUUUUAAGCAAAAAUACAAUAAUAUUAGGUGGCAAGCUUUUAAUUGUUUGACAAUUGAUACUCUAUUUAUAUGAACAUAGAAUAUGUUCAAAUACUUUGAUCAAAAUGUUGGUAAAUUUUAUGAUUUAGCGUAAAAAUGAAAAAAAAAAUCAUUUAUGGAUCAAAAUGUUUCAAAAUGAUUACGAAUAGAAAAUAUUUAGUAUAGUGUUGAUAAAGUUUUUAAACUUCAUAAAUAAUUAUGGGUUAAGUGUUUUAUAAGUUUUAGUAAAAUAUUAAAAAAUGUAUAUAUAUUUAAAAAAUUACAAUUUUUUCAAGUCGUGAAAUAAAAAAUAUAUAUUAUCAGUAUAUCAAAUACUAAUUUAUAAAAAAAUCAAUCUCAUAAUGUUUAAAUAUCAUUCAUUUAAGUCAUGAGGUGUGGUGUGGUAAUUGCUCAUCUCAUUUCUCAAUCAUUAGGUCAAGGGUUUAAUCCUUGCUUAUAGGAAUGGAGCACAUUUUAUGGUCAAUCAUUUAUCUUUUUGGAGAGCUCUAAUAGCGAAAGAAUUAGUCAUUACUACUAGUGGUGGAUACUAUAAAAAUAUUUAUAACUUUGUAUAUAUUUAUAUAACAAACUUUUUCCCUUAAUUCAAAGGGUUAAUAGCUAAUUUGGUCCCUGUGUUAUAGUUAAAAGUCAAUUUGAUUUUUUUUAAUUCUCUUAACAAUAAUUGUAAAAGAAAAUCUUAAACUAAAAAUUAAUAGAAAAUCUAUAAAAAUAAUUGAAAAUUCAUAAUUUUUUUUAAAAUAUGGAACUAUUUAAAUAUGUAUAAAUCUAAAAAUUUCUUAAAAUUAAAACCAAAAGAUUUUUAGGGUCUGUUUGAUAGGGGAAAAUAUUUUCCGGAAUUGAUUUUCCCCAUUUUCCAGUGUUUGAUUGGAGGAAAAUAUUUUCCUUUCAGAAAAUCAACUACAAAACACGGGAAAAUGCCUUACAAUUUUUGGGAAAUUGUCUUACCGAUUCAAUCUCCGUAAGACAUUUUCCUAAAGCUCUCAGGCAUUCUUCUCCCUUCAUCCAGUAAGCUCCCUUCAUCCAUUCUUCUCCCUUCCUUCAUUCCUUCAAAUUUCUGUUAUUGAAAGCUUCAUUUUGGUUCAGAACUGGAAACCGCUGCUGGUACGUUGCAAUUCCAUUUCCAUUUUUCGACGGUUACUUCAUUUAUUUUUCAUUUCUUUUUGGCUUUUAUGCUCCGUUUAUUUUUCAUUUCUUUUUGGCUGCUACUGCCGUUGCCAUUUCUUCUUUCAAAUGAUGGGUAAGCUUCCUUCUUCUUUUAUUCUUCGUUCGGUUGUUAAUGCUGGAAGCCAUCUUUCUAAUUUCCACUCUUUCUUCUUCUUCUAACACUAUUGCUACCCACAUCGACUGCCUAAGUAAGAAACCAAUGUCCAUGCCUGUUAGAGGAAAGGGAAAAACAGACCACCGCUUCGAUAAUGUUGAUCAUGCUUUGAGUUUGUUCACUUCUUUUUGUUGUCUCUGGUUUUCUGAGAUUUUGUUUAGUUUUUAUGUUUUUUUUAAUGUGAUGGGAAAUUGGGUUGGAAUUGAAGUUGAGGGUCCUUUUGCAACUUUCAAUUCUAAAGAAGGGGAAAAAAUUGCUUGCAAGUUUUAGAUAUGGACUGACGGUAUCUUUUAGAAGUUGUUCAUGUAGGAAGUUCUUAUUUGAUGAUUCAACUGCAGUUCCCAAUUGAUCUUCUAUAGGAUUAUCCUUGGAUCAUGCUAAAGGAUAUAUCAAUCUGGGAUUUAUUUUGAUUCUAUUGGAAAUUUGUGUCUGAUAUGAUUGAUACUAUUUAAGGUUAUUAUUAGAUUUGUUCUUCCUUGUUCAUUUAGCAGCAAUAGGAAUUCUCAAUAUGAAAUGUCAUGGUUUGCUUUGUCUAUAGUAGGGGUGUAAAGGUGCUUGCAAACUACUUGAAGAAAGACUCGAACUCGGUCGAGCUAUCAAUUGAGUCAAAUUUGAGCUUUGUUAAAUAAUGGCAUGUCUGGAAAUCAUGGACUGGGUAAUGAAGUUAGUUGCUUUGUUAAUUUAUGGAUUAAUGGUUUUAUAGGAACUUAAGUUAGUUUCUUUGUUAAUUUGGGUAAUGAACUUUGUCUGGAAAUCAAGGACUGGUUAAUGAAGUUAGUUGAUUUGUAGUUUUAUUUUUGUUUUUGUAUGGUCUAAUGCAAAUCCUUUUUUAUUAUGCCAUGUCGUGGUUGAUAAUCGCGAGUUGUGUAAUUUUAUGUUGUUCUUUCUCCUCCUUCUUCAGAUUGGAAAAAUUGGGAGCCUUAAAAUGGGACAAGGUAGUGCAUGGAAAUCAAGCGUGGAGGCUUAUCACUUGCAUCUGGCUGCACGCUGGUGUUAUUCAUCUACUUGCAAACAUGUUGAGCUUGAUCUUCAUUGGAAUUCGCCUUGAACAACAAUUUGGAUUCAAUACGUUAUCCGUUCCCUUUUGUAGUGGUAGCGUACUAUCGUCUCUUUUCAUUCAACGUAGCAUUUCUGUUGCUGCCUCUGGUGCUUUAUUUGGCCUUCUUGGAUUAAUGUUGUCGGAGCUGCUGACUAAUUGGACUAUCUAUACAAAUAAGGUAAUAUUAGUUGCCUUGGGUUCCUAUCUACUUAGAAAUGCAAUGAAGGGAAACCAGAGUUAUAGGUGAUUUCUUUUUUCAUGUGGCUUGAAAAGUAAUAGAGGAUAUUGAUUUUUUACCUUAAUUUGUAGGCUACAGCUCUGAUCACACUCACGGUCAUCAUUGUCAUUAACUUAGCAAUGGGGAUUCUUCCUCACGUCGACAACUUUGCGCAUAUUGGAGGUUUCUUAACCGAUUUUCUCCUUGGGUUCGUUUUGCUGCUUCGUCCCCAAUUCGGGUGGGUGGGACGUAAACAUCUUCCUGCCGGUGCUUGUGUAACAUCUAAGCAUAAAGCAUACCAAUACCUAUUUUUGGUGAUAGCUAUGGUUUUACUCAUUGCUGGGUAAGUUCUCUCAACCCUACAUUACUAGUUUAGCAGCUCGUGUUUAUAAUUUUGGUCCCGUUUGUUUAAUCUCCUCUGUUUUCCUUUUUCGAAUGAUGACAGUUUCACAUUGGGGUUGGUAAUGCUGUUUAGAGGAGAGAAUGGACAUGACCAUUGCAGCUGGUGCCAUUACCUGAGCUGUGUUCCUACAUCAAAAUGGCACUGUGGGAACUAAGCAGACCUUUAUUACAUAUCGUUCACUGAUUCUUUUCUGGUUUCCUUUACAUUUUUUACAUUUGUUAAUUUCUUGGUGUUGUUACGUGCCUAUGUGUAUAUAUAUAUACAUACAUACAUACGUACAUGGUUAGUUUUUAGACUUCGAGUUAUUUUAUUCACUGUUGUUAUGUGAUUUGACAUUUUAUACACAACUUGGUCUAAAUAUAUAUAAUAAGCGAUUUUACUUGAAGAAAAUACGAGAAUAUCUUUCAGUUUUUCCCUAUAGUUUUAGCUAAAGGUUUUGGCUUUGCAAUAUUUACUUUCCCUGAGGUCGUAUCUAUAAUCUAACUUUGUCUCUUUGGACAUUAAAGGAUGAAAGUUUAAUUAUUAGAGAAUUAAGCUUUGCCUUUGCAAGUAAUCAAUAUUAAACAUAUAAAUACCUUGUUUGUGAUAUAUUAAAAUGGAAUUAAGUAGACAUUAAGCAUUAAGAUUCUCAAAACUAUUUAUUAUAUGUUACUCAUCAACUCACUAAUAAAUUUCACUUACCAUUUCAUUUUAGCCCAAAUAUAGAUUUAUAGGACAUAAGGAUAUGUGGAUAGAACACUGAAUCACUAGAACAAAUGUAAAAACAACUUUUCCGAAAAAUAUUUUCAAGAAAUCUGUCAAAAAGUAGAAAAUAUUUUACACAGAUUCAAUCAAACACCAGAAAAUAUUUUCCAGUAAAUCAUUUUAUAGAAAAGUAAAACAUUUUCCAGAAAUUAUUUUACGGAAAACAUUUUACUGGCAAUCAAACGGACCCUUAAUUUAAAUCCCAUGUUAAAUAUAUGUAUCACAAGAAUCAGAUUGGAUAAAAGUAGAAUCAAAUUAAUAUAAAAUUUAAAUACAAAUAAAUGUUUUAAUAAUGAAGAAGUAAAAUCAAAUCGGUAUAAUCUACAAAUAGAUGAACAUUUGGAAUUUAAUUAGAUAAAAAACUUUUAUUAAUAAAAAAUUUAUUUAUAAAUAAAUCAUUGCAAUAUGUGUAAAAAUAAUUUAAAAUAUAAAAAUUUAUUAAUAUGUAUAUAAAUUUAUUAAUAUAUGUAAAAACAACUUUUCCGGAAAAUAUUUUCAGGAAAUCUGUCAAACAGCAGAAAAUAUUUUACACAGAUUCAAUCAAACACUAGAAAAUAUUUUCCAGUAAAUCAUUUUACAGAAAAGUAAAACAUUUUCCAGAAAUCAUUUUACGGAAAACAUUUUACUGCCAAUCAAACAGACCCUUAAACUAACAUUUCUUACAAAUUUUUAUUAUAUAAAACAAUUUAAAAUUUUCAAAUUUGUUGAGUAGUAUUUUUCUCGUAUCGUAUUAAGAGAAACACAUGGGGUAUUUAUACAUGUUUCUAUUGCUACUAUUACAGCUCACAAUAGGGCCCACUAUUUUGUCUCAGUCUUUGGGCCGAUGGUACUGACAUUCCCUGUCCCUGGUGCUGGCAUUCCCCUGGGUAUCCCUUGGCUUAUCGGAUGCAUGUCUGCGAAGCACGCAGUCUUUUUUGAUCCUAAGACUGACUCCUCCAGCGAGCCUCGUACCUACUAAUCACAAGCAGGGAUUCCUAGUAGGGCUUGUGAUCCCUUUUGCUGACAUAGCUCGCGACGUCAUUCCUAUGAGGCUUACGUGAGCUCUCCUUACGAGCUUUCCGUGCGAGCUAUCUUUGCAAAAAUCUAGCAUUCCAGUGGGGUCCCCAGCAAACUAUGCCUGUAGGUGAACAUUCUUGUAACACCCUUUACUCGUACCCAAGACCGGGAUAGAGUACGGGGCAUUACCGAGAACAUACAAAGACAUUUGGGAAAUAUGGCUAUCAAAUUUCGUUCGAAAAUAAAAACAUUCAUAAUAUCCCUAAUAUGAGCUUAAGAGGCCCGAAACAUAUUUAGAAACCCAUUCAGGAACAACCCGGGUCCUUAAAAGAAUAAAAAAACCUUCACUAAAAACAGGGGCACACGUCCAUGUAACCUUCACGACAUGGCCGUGCUGAUGGCCCGUGUAUUUCACACGGCCUAAGCACCUAGGGACACGCCCGUGUCCCUUACCCGUGUGGCCAAUUUAAUUCACAAUUUCUCAUAAAUCAAGUGCAGACUUCAUACGACCAGAACACACGCCCGUGUCUAUGGUCCGUGGAGCAUACUGCCAACUUAACUAUAAACAAAAAAAUCACAUGGCCAAGGCACUCGCCCCUGUCUAUUGCCCGUGUCUUUCACACGGCCUUGACACGCCCGUAUCCUCAGCUCGUGAAGCUAUCUGUCUAAAUGGUCAUGGUCUAAAUGAAGUCGUACGGCCUUGUGCUAAAAAUAGGCUAUUUAACAAGCCUUCAAGCCAUCCAUGCCAACAAUAACCUACAUAGCAUUCUACCAUACCAAUAUCCCUAUCAACAUGGGACCAAACAACUAUAAGAAACAGUAAUUCAACUAACUACUAGAACAGUUCAAUUAACCAAGGGGGCAACAACCUUCAACAUAUGAUUCAAUAUGAAUAUUAGCCAUUAACCAUGGCCUUAUACAAAAUGAAUUAAUAACACAUUCAUGAACCAAUACUUUGGCUAAACUAAUGACAUAUACCAAGCAAAAUAAACAAAAGUCCUAUACAUGCCAUUAUACAAAAUAAAAGCUUCCAUAUACCCAAAACGGAAUUAGUUCAAUAGUGUGAUCAACGCUCCAACCGUCUUCCAAUCCUCAAGAGUCCACGAGUACUGUAAAACAGGGGAAAAUAAAAAGGGCAAGCAUUAACAUGCCUAGUAAGUUCGGAUAACGGGAAAGUAAACCUACUAGUUAUUUAGUAUAAAACCAUAAUAAGCACACAAUCCAAACAAGUAUAGGAUAGAUUUCCUAUCACAUGCACUCAACCAUUAAGUUAGUCUCAUAGCAUGACAAAAUAAUAGCACAUCUAGAUGAGCUCAUCACAUCAUUAUUCCCAAUUUACAUCUCAUGUUAGUCCUAUUGAAUUUUUUGGUUUUCCUAUGGAUAUCUCAUUUCCCAUCAGUUCAUAUAAGUGGUCAUUUUGAGUACGCAUUCCCGCGAACCUCGCAUCUUACGGCAGAAUUACCAGAUCAGACUAAAUCCCCCGUAAUACAAACUCAUAAAGUAAAUGUCGGGAUUACCAGUCCAGGUUAAAUCCCCUACAACGACAUAUACUCUAAUGAGCUCGAAUCUGAAUUACUGGUCCAGGCUAAAUUCAGAUCCUACUUCGGAUUACCCUUCCGGGCUAAAUCCUUAAUGUACACAUAUUCUUCGGGAGGCUAGAUCACUAUAGGAUCAUCCGUCUGGGCUAGAUGCUUUUCACCGUCAAUUCAUUUUCGAGAUAUUCCAUUGAAUAACCCUAUUCAUUCAACCUGGGGCAUUCUUAUACUCAUUUUACUCACUUUAUUAAAUCUCAUAAAUUAUCAUGCAAUAAACAUUUACACAAUCAAGAAUAUACAUUUUAAGUACAUUAAAAGUCUACCUUGACUUAUUAGAACUUACCUUGUGAUCGUUUCAGAUUUGAGUUUUGAUCACUCCGAAACCUUUCGUCUCCCUCAAUCGACUUCCAGAUUGUAAUGAACCGAAAGUUACGGUAUCGGAAAUUGAGUCUUGAGUACUGUUUCCGUGAAAUUAAUUCAUGAAUAUUUAUUAGAAAUAUUUAUGAAUUAUAGUUGAAUGGUUAUUUAAUGUUUAAUUAAGUGAAGUAGCUUGAAUUUAGUUUAAAGGACUAAAUUACAUAAGGUAUAAAAGUUUAAUUAUAGAUUAAAGAUUAAUAAAUGGACUAAUCUAGCAAUUAGACCCUAAGUGCCAUGUGUGUGAAUGUAUGAUAUAACAUGUGUAAUAGUUGGUAAAGAUAUUAAAUGUGUUAAAGUAGUUUUUCUUAUAGAUUAAGUUAUUUUAUUAGAAUAAUAUUAUAUUAUUAAUAUUAUUAUAUUGAAUAUAGAUUUAUGAUUAAGUUAAAAAAGAAAGAAAGAAAGAUAGAAAGAGUUACAGAGAGCAAACGUGAGAAAGAA
This 53892-nucleotide long non-coding RNA is filed under the name Gossypium barbadense (sea-island cotton). RNAcentral describes it as "long non-coding RNA (GBAR_LNC000304)". Lineage: Eukaryota; Viridiplantae; Streptophyta; Magnoliopsida; Malvales; Malvaceae. The record is from RNAcentral.